UGUUUUCUUUCCCUGUUUCUUUUUGUCGGUGUCCUUCGUCUUUUCACUUCAAGAAUGGACUACACAGUAGAUGAUGCAUUGUUUUACGCUUCGAAGUCUUCUGAUCUGAACGUUUCUGCAUUCAGAUCUUGUCGUUCUCUGCAUUUUGAUUCCUUGAAUUUUGGCGAUUUAUUUGCUGUUGCUCUGUUUCGAAUGAUUUUAAAGGUUUGUUGACUAAUCUUGCUUCUACAUAUUGUUAAAGAGUUCUGGUCGAGUUUCGGUCACUAAUGUUGUGUUUGGUUGGCGAGAAAUCGUAAGAAAAUAAGAGGAAACUUGAAAUCUUACAAGAGCCACUUUCAUCUCUCUUUCUAUACUUUACCGGGAAUCUAGCGGAGUCUGAUCGUUAGAACGAUUGAGGGACGAGUUCUUUUAGUUUAGUGUAUGGCUAUUAAAAUUUUUGUAUGAGGAUUCAAUUUCAAUGGUUUUUGAAUCGAAUUAUAUGGUUUUAGUUGGACUAGUCUGUUCUUUUCUUUAUCUCCCUCCUUGGAGCAUAUAGUGGUGUGAAGUGUCCUUUGGAUGAGUUGGAGGUGUGGGUUAGAGAUUAUUCAUGCCUAUGUGAGUUCAGUUUUGCUCCAGUGAAUGGAUGGUUUAGUCCAGUCUUGGUCUUGCCAUGGGCCCUGCAGUUCAUCUGAGAUGACAACAUCUGAAUGGUAAAAUGCCGUUGAGUUGCUGGAGAGGAGAAUUUAGGAAUUCGAUGUUUCCAUGCUUCUGAGUGGUGAACAAUUGGUGGUUUCCUGUUAUCCAUGUUUGAGAUCUGAUUGCAUAAGAAUUGCAUAGUUCCAAUUUUUUUUUUCUCUGUUCGACUCUGGCUCUUAUAUAUGGUGUCAAGCAAAAUUUAUGUUUGUUCAUUGCAUCCAAAGAAUGGAACACAAAAAGAAGAGUUCCAAUGCAUUGCAUAAGCUUGAGGUCCUUUCCAUUAGAUUUGAAGUGGCAAGAUCAUGCACAGGGUAUGAAAAACAUCGGCCCAUAUUUUGUAAGCAUGAACUUCCCUCACCAUUUUCAGUGAAAGGGGAGAAAGGAAUAAUGAGUUGGUUGUGCAUCAUUUUCUUUGGUUCUAUCUGUGCUGACGAUUGUUCUUAUACUACUAUAUUUUUGUGGUUCCUCUGCAGUAGGCUAUGAAUUUUCUCCCUGUGAAACUCUUUACCGUGCCAACAUAAUAUUUUGCAAACUCAAGUCAAGUCCAACAUGUCUGGUUGUAAACAUCAUUUUUAGGAUUAAAACUUUGACUUGGUAGUAUCUUAUGCUAGUUGUUUCUUUGAAUUCUAACUGAGCUCCUUCAAAUAAAGUGCUCUACAAGAGCUGAAAAAGAGACCCUGAACUGCAUCAAGAAAAAUACCUGCAAAAAAAACUGAAUAUAAAGCUUAUUAUGCUGAACCAGAAUCCAGUAACUCGAUCAGUUAUUUGGACAUGGGUUCAGAACACUCUUUAGUUUACAUAAGACAUGUUUUUAACCUUGUAUAUUAUGCGGUCUAUGCCAACAGGUUUAAGGAGGUGCCUUGAGAUAUAAAGUCCUGUGAAAUGGUUGCCAAAGAGAACAAGGAUGAAAUUAAAGAUAACCAUUCUAGUGAUUUGGAGAAAGAGCCUAAGCCAGGAAAGGAGGAAGAGUCUGAUUCUGAAACAAGAAGAGAUUCGGUAUCAUCUCAAGGGGAUUCACAGACAGCUGACGAUGAGAAAGUAGAGAGAGCUUCAAGAGUUCCCAAAAGGAUUGCCAAAAAGGAUUCCUCUGACAACCAUUCUCAUGCAUCAAGAGUGAGAUCUGAUCGUGAAACACAUAAAUCACAAUCCAAGCCAUUACAUAACACUCCUAAGAAAUCUCCAAAAUCCAACAAAGGGCCUUCUAAAGUGACUACAAAAAAUUCCCCCAAUACUAAUUCUAAAAAUAUGAAAGUUCCUCCAAAACCCUCAUCAGAAUCAUCUGAAGGAAUUGAUGAUAAACCUAUUGAGGAGGUAAAGGAAGCAGAUCUCUUGGAUGGAGCCUCAAAUGGUGUUCAGAGUGUUGGAAGUGAUGAUGAGACAGUUGAUACUGAGGAAAAUGGUGAGCAUGAAGACAAGGUUGCUUUGGAUCAAAGGAUAGAAGAAAUGGAAAUGAGAAUUGAGAAACUUGAAGAGGAGCUGAGAGAAGUUGCUGCUCUUGAAAUUUCACUCUAUUCUGUGGUACCAGAGCAUGGGAGCUCAGCACAUAAGGUGCACACACCUGCACGACGGCUUUCUAGACUCUACAUUCAUGCUUCAAAGCAUUGGGCCCAACAUAAGCGAGCCACAAUUGCUAAAAACACUGUGUCUGGGCUUGUUUUGAUUGCCAAGUCCUGUGGUAAUGAUGUUCCGAGGUACGCCAAUUAUCAUGUUUUUAAGUCAAUGCUUUGGGAUGCUAUGCUCAAUUAUUGUAUACUGAUCUAACAAUGUUCUUCUUCCUUGUUUGUUUUCUUCUUUUCUUUUUCUUUUUCUUUUUCUCUUUCAAAAUUAAGGCUAACCUUCUGGAUGUCAAACACCGUUGUGCUGAGGGAGAUAAUAUCUCAAGCAUUUGGCAAUUCAUGUCAGUCUAGCCCAGUUGUAAGGUUUUCUGAGUCAAAUGGAAGUGGGAAGAAAAGUGACGGAACAUCUUUGACACUGAAGUGGAAGGGUAGUUCUGGUGGUAAACAAGUAAACAAACUUGGUUUUGUGCAAUUUGUUGAUGAUUGGCAGGAGACAAGAACCUUCACUUCUGCAUUAGAAAAAGUUGAAUCCUGGAUUUUCUCUCGGAUUGUUGAGUCAGUAUGGUGGCAGGUAAAAAAUACACAAGUUACUGUAUGAUUAAUGAAUUAAAUUUGAUCCAAACUGUUGAAAGUAAUGUAAUCUAACUAAAGAUCUCAUACCCAUAAGUCAUGCACGAUAUGCAAAAAAAUCAACCUGUUAAGUGACAUGCACAAUUAUUAAUAUAUAUCUCCAAAUAUGAAAAUAAGCAUUUUAUUUUUAUUUUGCUAGUAAAGUCUAUGUGUAAGUUACUAUUAUGUCUGAUUUAUAAUUAUAAGUGGCUUUUAAUGUGCUAUGUUCCUUAAUUCUCUCACUAUCUUAUGGUUUCAGACUUUAACUCCGCAUAUGCAACCUCCAGUUAAGGAUUCCUAUACCAAGAAAACCAUUGAACGUCUAUUAGGACCUGCCUUAGGUGAUCAGCAGCAAGGGAGCUUUUCCAUUAACCUUUGGAAAAAUGCUUUUCAAGAUGCCUUUCAAAGACUUUGUCCUGUUCGAGCAGGAGGGCAUGAGUGUGGUUGCUUGCCUGUAAUAGCAAGAAUGGUAAGUGCUUUAAAAUAAAAAUUUGCCUUUUCUAUUUUUAUUUUCAUUUGCAAAAGCAAUGGAGAAUAAACCGAAGACCAAAACUUUUCAUGUUUCAACUUUUUAGCAGGGCUGACUUGUUUAAGCUUUUAUAUUCUCUGAAGGGUUAACUAGAUGUUUCUGUCUGCAGGUAAUGGAACAGUGUGUUUCCAGAUUAGAUGUGGCAAUGUUCAAUGCUAUUCUACGUGAGUCUGCCCAUGAGAUCCCAACUGAUCCUAUAUCAGAUCCAAUUGUUGAUUCCAAGGUUCUGCCUAUUCCAGCUGGAGACUUGAGUUUUGGAUCUGGUGCUCAACUUAAAAAUUCUGUAUGUAUUGACUUACUUUACAUAUAUGUGGCUUGCAUAUUUUGUGUGAAAGUUGCUUUAUCUUCAUCCAAGGGGUAGUUAGUCCUCUGAUUUGUCAGCCAGUAUAGAAGAAUCCAGCCUUGAUUAACUUCUAGGGUAAUUGACAAACCAUUAUCGUGGUGAAUACAUGAAGGCAGAUCAGUUACAGUUAGCAACCGCUAUUGUAAUUCAUUUACUUUGCUUCUUUCUGGACAAAAAUAGUGGAAACAACUCCUGAUUUCUUUAAGAACAUAUGCCUGCCAUAAUAAGGGAAAAGAAGAUUUAAUUAGGGGAAAAAUGCUUUUAGUCAAAGACACCUUAGCUCCAUCACAAACAAGUGGAAAACAAAUUUUCUCCAGGAAUGAGUUCCAUUGUGACAAUGAAGCCUUCUUGGUAGAUAAUUUGUGGUUAAGUUGGCAAUUUAAAACCUUUUCAGCUUUUUUAUAGGCAAUUGAAAGCUUCAAACAUCUCAUUGUUCCACUAUUUAGAAUUGAUGGGCAUUUCAGGGUACAGAUUUAUCCUCUGUCAUGUAAUUGUUACUAGAAAAGGGGAGCUGUUGAAAAAAGGAAUCAUAUCCCAAAUGACAAUGGAAAAAAUGUAUCUUGGAUUCCCUCUUUAAUGAAAAUUCUGAACUUCCACAUUCAGAGAUUAUGUACACUCAUUUAAAAUGCUAUAGAAACAGAAUGGUCUCUUUAAAUCCUCAAAACAGUGAAUUUAUCUCAUUUUUAUGAGGACAUCCAAAAUGCCCUCUGAUUGUAAGAAUAAUCAUACACAUGUCAGCAACAGGUACAAGGAGUUAGGCAUUCAAAGCGUUUCUAGGUUUAUAUCAUCUAUGGGAAGACCCUUGUUUUCUAUGGAAUGAUCAUGUUUACAAGUUUUAAAAUCACAUGGAGUUUGCUUCCCAUGCAGGUCGGAACUUGGUCCAGAUGGCUUACUGAUUUGUUUGGUAUGGAUGUUGAUGAUUCCCUGGGAGAAGUUCAGAUCAAUGGUGAGGAUGGUGAAAGCCAGGGUGGACAUGAUGAACCCAAAUCGUUCCAUCUUCUUAAUGCCUUAAGUGAUCUUCUGAUGCUUCCAAAAGACAUGCUAAUGGACCGAUCCAUUAGAAAGGAGGUUAGCCUUAUAAUAAUAUACUUUCAUUCAAGACAUGUAAUAUUUCCUUGCUGCUCCUCUAACUUGAUGCAUUUUUUUGGUUGUCAUGUUUUUAACAUGAAAGGUGUGCCCAUCAAUCAGCCUUCCAUUGCUUAAAAGAAUACUUUGCAACUUUACACCAGAUGAGUUCUGCCCUGAUCCUGUCCCAGGAGCUGUGUUAGAGGCAGUGAAUGCUGAGGUAGAUUUUGCUUACCUUUGAAAUCUCUUCCAGAAGUUUUUUAGGAGUUGAGUAGGUACACUAAAAUAGUACAUUGGGCAAUUAUUCAAUAUUCAUUAUUUUGUGGAUGCUAUUAUUUUGUAAUGGCUCUUCAUAAACACCAGAAGACAAAACAAGUGGAGUUCAAAAACUUAGGUUGGGGUUGGAUUUUUUGGUCUAGGUUUGAGUUCCAACAGAUAUGAAAGAAAAUGUCAAGGGAAAAAAAAUGGUUUGGAGUUUCAAUGAUUUUUUACCCUUUUUCUGAACUUAUUGUGGGGAGAAAAAUAUUUCCAAGUGGCAAUUAAAAACCAGAAACAUCAACAAUUAAUCACGGUUCCAGCUCUAUUAAGGGUGGCCAUUUAUUGUUCUGUUCCAGCUUUUCAGAUUCCAUUUGGAGAAUAAAUGAUGUUCUAAUGGAGGACUGAACAUUUAAAUUGGAGAUUUUCUAUGAUAGGUCACUGAUGAUUCCCCAUGAAACUUUCUUGUCUCAAUAAUAUGCUAUCCACACCUUUACUGAUGGAAAUGCCACCUAGGCCUAUCAUCUUCUGCUUCUGUUUCUAAACAUAAAAAAUUUCAGAAUCUUGCUAUGGCCGAUUGAAGGACAAAGAUGCUGAAAUAGAUGGCUGAUCCAUCGCUAUUUCAUUUUUCCAGAGUAUUGUAGAGCGAAGAUUAUCAGGAGACUCUGCCAGCAGCUUCCCAUAUCCAGCUACCCCUGUUCUGUAUGCUCCUCCUUCCUCUGCUGACGUGGCAGAGAAAGUUGCAGAGGCAGGUGGGAAAUCACAAUUGGCGAGGAAUGCGUCUAUGGUACAGAAAAAGGGGUAUACCAGUGAUGAAGAACUGGAGGAACUGGAUUCUCCCCUCACGUCCAUCAUUGAGAAAAUGCCACCAUCUCCAUCUGUUGUAAGAAACGGAAAUGGAAAACACAGUGAGGAAACAGGCCAUAAUGGCUUAAAUGCAAGGUAUGAACUCCUUCGUGAGGUUUGGUCGUCGUGAAUGGUGCUUGUGAUUACAUUAAUACAUUAAUCAGUUAUGCUGCUGCUGUUUGCAUCAAAGAAUAUCAUGAAGGGAAUCGCAGGAGGAUGUUCUCUAAUGCGUCUGGGGAGAUGCUCUGUUGUAUAUGUUAUAGUGUUACACAUAUAGAGAGAUUUUGUUGCAUUCAGUAAAUUAUUUUUCAGUUAUUUGAAAGUUAUACUUGUAUUCUUAAGAAAGAUUCUUGUUGUACUGCUUCUCCAUGGAAAAAAAUUCCUUAAUCCUUGUCGUAGAUUGUUUUAUUUGUAGCUCAGUGCAAAAUUGCAAAUUGCAAAAUCCUGGUGCCCCUGGGGCUUUCUCAGAACAUGGGCCAAAUUGGGGUUUGGGCCUGAUGAAAUGGGCUGGCCCGUCAAAUAGUUAUUUGGUGGACAGCCCUGGCCGUGCACCACUGGAUGUGGAUGGCCCACGGUUGCACCUUUGGCCUUCUGGCUUUAGGGAAGCUAAAAUCCAACAUUUUGAUUGAUGUAUUGAAGCGUUGGGUUUGUUCUCAGUAGCAAAAUUAACUGCGAUAUUUUGAACUUCUGCCUCCAGAAUCUCUCUCUCUACUGGUAUUAGAAAAACUUCUGCCUUUCUUGAGGUUCACCCGCCCCUGAUAAAUUGCGAAAAUUAACACACCCAAAGAACGUUGCAGGCAGUUUUAAUACUAUGGAUGCUUGACCGUAAAAAUCCAAUGAGCAUGAAUCAUCUUCAUUCGAGAAUAAACUAUUAUUUCAUACUUGUAAUCAUUCUUCACCAUAGGAAAGUUAAUGAAUAUUAUCUCAAACAUCAGCGCACAAGGAAAAAACUAAUUAUCAACUCUUUUACAAAAAUUCAAGAAUGAGGCUUUGCCCUAAUUAACCCCACCCUAUGGUAUAGGGCUUAAAUCCGCUACUCGCCUCCACACUAUUGGCCAGAGACCUUCCAAACUGAGCUGCAAGCUGGGCUUUUCGAGCAUGGAGGACUCCUCACAAAUGGAAUAUGCCCACUUCAGGAGGUCCAUUGUAGACAUGAUCUGGUUUGUGGGCUUCCCUCUUUGCCUGUUAUCUGCAUGUUUGUCAGAGAGUUUGCAGAUAUUAGAGAAAGUGGGAGGUAGAGCUUGAAGACGAAGUUUUUUACUACCUUCCAUCUUCUGGUUUAAAGUUGAAAGAACUGGAGAGGCUCAUACCCAUGCCUAAGCUUCUGCAAUGCCUGAUAUUUUGGAGUUUAAUAUUUAUAUAUAUAUAUAGGUCAAGUUUGAGGAGUUAAUAUUUAUAGGAAAACGAUUGAACUCAACUUAAAAUCUUUAAUCAUAUGACAUAUUAGAAAUUUUAAGUUCUCAAAGAAGUAUUAUAAUGAAGGUUCAUAUCUGGUCACAUUACUCAGGUUCAUAUCUGGUCACAUUACUCAUACUUUUCGAUCAAUUUUUUCAUAACCUUCACAUUCUACAUAUCCCGAAUCUCUUAAUACAUAUUUAAGUGACCUUGAAGUUAUACACCAUUAAUAAAAAGUGAUAUUAUGUGAAGACUAAGGUGGUGUUUGUUUUUUUUUUUUUGCUUAAUUUUAAAUAGAAAUUUAAUAUUUAAUAAUGUUAAAUAUUAUGUUGUUUGUUUUUAUAAUAUUUUUUUUUAUAUUAAGUAUUAAAAAGUAAAGAAAAAACCAAUAUGUUAUUUUUUUAUUUAGAAAAAAUUAAAUAUUUUGACUUUUUUAUUCAGAAAAAAUUUUAUAAUAAGUUAUGAAAAGGUAAAAAAACAAACAACCUAAAUUCUGAAAACAAAUUGCUUUCAUUAAAAAGUCAAAAAAACAAACAACCUCUAACCCUUAUAUAUUAUACUUCAGUCAUAAAUGGACCGCUUAAUUAAGCAUCAUAUCAUUAUAUAAAGGUUCAAGUUUAACACUACCCGUAUAACAAGCUCUAUGUCAUGAAAUUACACCAGUGUGUUCAAGUGUAGCCACAUAAUCUUUACAUAUUGAGACCAGGACGGCUUGGGUCUGCUGAGAAACUCUUAACUGAGCUGGAAGGGACAUCAAACUCAGUUUUGUCUGCUGGAAAAUCUUCAAUCCACCAUCCAUCUUCUGCAUUUUCCGGGGCCAAGUCUUCUCCAACAGUAGUUCCAUUUGUUUGCACCACGCCACCUGCCAUAUCAGUAGAAUUAUUUCCAGUUACAGUCACUGUUGUAUUCCCCUCCAACAUCCAGCUCCUCCGCCCGUUGAAAUCGGCGUUGGUUCUGGUUCCCCUUGCAGGGCUAGUCAAUCCAUCAAAGAAACCAGGGCUGGGCUGAGGAGGAGGGUUUUGGAUACCACGGAGCCCGAAGAAUCUAGGGUUUUGCUCCAGGGCGUCGAGGAAAAAGUUUUCGUACUGCGGGGUUGGUAGGGUCUGAAACUGUUGAGAUGGUGGCAAUGGUGAAAUCCCCCUCAUAAGUCCAAAGCUGUAAGUCUUACCAGCUCCGUGAAUAGUAGAAAAUCGCCCCAAAUUCCCACUGGUUGUCAUCCCACUACCAGUGCUAGUAAACCCAAGAAAAUUAUGGAUAGGUUGAAAGUUAGGGUUUUGGUAGCCACCAAGAAGGAAGGAGCUAGGGUUUUGAUCCUGGACCUGGUUGAUACGACUGUGAUUUUGCCGGAACCGAAGAUACUGGUUCUCUGGGGCUGGUUGAAUCGGCGUUUGUUCAACUGGGUUUAGUUGCUGAAUCCCACUACCAAAUCCAUGGGCAGAAUUGGGGUUGGUUUGAAAAUUAGGGUUUUCAUGGGCACGAAGAAGGGAGGAGCUAGGGUUUUGAUGGUCUAGAUGUUGGCCAUGGUUGGCAGAAGUGUAACUCCGAUGAAAUUGAAGAUUUUGCUGUCCCGGGGCUGUUAGAUUCUGAAUCUGCUCGUCAGAUGGUUGAACUUCAGGGUCAGGCUGGGGGCUUCUCGAGUUUCCAUCUUCCGGCACGUCCGGUACCUUCUUUGCCUUCCUCUUUGAAAGAACUUCAUCCACUGAAGUAUUUUUUACGUACUUUGAAGCACCUUCACCAAUCGGGAGCUUAUUACUUGCCAGUAUGCUCAUGACAUUGUACUGACCAAGAUCAAAAUUGGUAAUUGCCUCCAUGCCAUUAAGCCUUAUCGAAGCAAUGUCAUAAGCCCUAGCUGCUUCAUCUUCGGUCUCUGUCAGCACAAUUGAAGAUUGAAUACUCAGAUCAGUAAGGCAAAAGUGGAAUCACCCCAACAUACUCAAGUGGCAGAGGGUCACUCUCCACCAAACAGUUGAGAUCAUUUGAGGGUUUUGAGCUAACAGUUAGAGUCUAAGUCCCACCAAGGUAGAAGCUAGAGCUAAUCAAAAUAUGUGAUCCAAGAGGGGAAGGACUUACUGAAUGUCCCUAAGUAAAUGCCUCGCAAUCCUUUGCCUCUACCUAACCUUGCUUGCCAUUUCUCGCCGUCAGCAUUCCUGUCCCAAUGCUUGGCCAUGAGAGACAGAAGGAGAAAACAUGAGUGAUAGGAAAGAGGAGAGAAAAAGACAGAUACUUGGAAACUCCGCGAUAUUGAGAGGCGCCUUUAGCAAAGCCCAUACUUGUCCUAAAAUUCGUUUGUUUCAAACUAUAGUUAAUAUAUAUGGUCUCCACAAGAAAUAAUUUCUUUGCAUUUCAAGAAAAUAUAAAGUAAAAAAAGUGAAAAAAAAUGUAUAAAUCAGAUUAUACAUACACGUUAUAUAUAUAUCCAAGUAAAUGCAGUUGUAAUUAAGGGAUUUCAAUGGAAAUGAAUCAAACCACACACCAUUAAUUUUGAUAGUCUAUGAAAGAAUGGAUUAAGUAGAAUCUUACCUUCUAAGGGCUACCAGAUAAUCUUUUUUCGACAUGUCCUUCAUCACCUCCAUUUCCUUCUGAUAAUUACUUAGCUGCAAUGAUACAAGUACAGAUUUAAAAAAAUUUGUCACCCUUGCUAAGUAUAAAUGAACUCUCAUACCAACAUACUUAAGCAUCCAAAUCAUAAAUCCAGUCUGGGUCCAUCAAUGUUGAGAACCAUACCGGGAAAUUUGUGGGGACUGAUCUGCCCCAGAACUUAAUGGCAGCUAAAUCAUAAGCCCGAGCUGCCUCAUGUUCUUGUCGAUAUACACCUGCAGAAUGAGAAAGAGGAAUGAGAAACCGUUGGUGACCAAAAACUAUGUUGUGCUGUCUUAGUGGGAGAACUGUGUUGAAGAUUAUGAACUGAAAAUUAAUCUUGUACUUACCAACAUAAACUUCCAGAUGUGAAGCAAGCAACAGAAACCAGAUGAGGAAAGAGAAGGGAGUUAGUAAUAUUCACGAGAGGAUUCUUAUAAGGUGAAGGAACAAAACUUGGAAAGUAAAGAACAACAAAUAAUUAAUUAAUGAAUAAAAUAUUUAAAUGAACUCAGCUACCUGUUCUUCCUUUUCCUUCAUUGUCCCACAGAAAUGCCUCAUAGUGUCCUGUAUGCUUAUAUCUAUUUUGGAGGGAAAGGAAGCAUUUGCAGGUGAGAGAGCGGCAUAUGUUUUUUCGAAAACAAUUAAAGAUAGACUAACACCAUAGACAUAGAAACAAACCUACUAACUCCUCGAUAGCGGGGGGUUCUUUCUCCAAAAGCUCGCUCUGGAGCUCUAGAACGGCCUCUACGUCGAGACACCUUAACUGAAGACUUGUCCUUCAUGCCCUUUUUCUUCUCACCACUUACACUAUUACAGCUGCUUGUGGAGAUUUGUUAAAAAAUAAAAACAUUGAAAAUUAUUAUGUUAAACAAUAGAGAUGAGAUAGACCACAACCUAGCUUGUCCUGGAUGUAUUGCAUCAGUACUACUGGUUCAGUUGGAUUUUCUGGGCUUCCUUCAACAAUGCCUAUAUUAUUAACCCUCCCAGUACUCUUCUUGCCAUUCAAAUCUGUGUGAUCACUUUCCAUGGAUAGAUUAGAUCAUUUCCCAUGGUAUUAUUAUGACUUGAAUCUAGGGACUUCUGCAGAGGAUAUGUUAUUAAUAUACUACUGCUAAUUGGAGAAAUAAUUAGAACAUGCACCAUUUUUAUUUUGAGGAUCCUGAAUUGAACAUUAAUGUUCAAACAAUAAGAAAGCAAGUUUACAAAAAAGGAUCAAUUCAUUUUGGCAUAGAUGAUAAUAAUGCACGCGUCAUGGAGCGGUCAAUUAAGGUUUUCUAGUUCAUCUUCUCACAAUUGUGCUGGAAUGAUAAUGGCCCGCAUCGCGACAUAAAGGGGCAUGCAUGUCAUAUAUUAGGGGGAAUAUACUUCGGUUCCACGCAGCAAGACGUGGCACCUUGCAAUUGCUAGAACUUGUUCUAGCAUGCAUGACCAUGGAUUAGCCAGUUCCUAUUUGGAAUGUUGCAAUUUCUUGAUCGCUGCCAUUUUCUACGUACUACAUUACAAAUAGUGAUGGUAAGUAUGAUUAGACAAUCAACAUAAUGAGAAGAAAAUGAAAAAAGAGUAGGCCACAACAGUGGGAAAUCCUCUGAAGAUAUCAAACAUGGAAGCAUACUGAUCAUCAAAGGCACAGAACAAUAAAAUUUGACAAACAUAAUCAAUGGAGUCACUUGUAUUAUAGUAAUAUAUGAUCCUUCCCUAUCAAAUCAAUCAUUAACUAAACCAAAUUAAUUAAUGAAACUGUCUUUAAGUUGGAAAUAUAUAGAAGCUUAAAUUACAGAAAUGGGAUACAAAAUGUUUGCAGCUACUACAUUGAAAUUAAUUUCCAUAUAUAAGGGCACAAAACAUAGUACUGAAGAAGGUGGCCUAAAAAUAUUACCCAGUUGCACCACAGUUAUAAUCAAGCUUCUUUCAUCUUAAUUUACAAAGGAUAUCUACCAAUGAAACUAGCUAAUAUCAAAGUCUUAUAACCAUAGAUAUCAUUCACAACUCGUGAGAACUACAAAUUAAACUCACAUAAAAGCAGCUGUAAAAGCAAAAUUAAAAGAUACAUGGAUUACUGCUUACGCUUAAAGCAACCUAGCUCACAGUUGCAGCCAUGGGCAUCUCUCUUUGAUCAUCAAACAGAUACCUGAAAAAUCAAAUAUACCGACAAGAGAUUUUAAAGCAAGAGAGAGUUAUUAUAUGCUGAAGAUCAGAACCAGUAGAGAUCUGAUAUUUUUCUUCCAUAUAUAAAUCCAUGAAGCAAUAUUUGGCAAAAAAGUUAUAUUAGAAUAUCACUUGACUAGUUAGGUUUUCUAAUCAAAUAAACGAAGCUCAUAUGUUGCAGAAGAUCUAACUCAAAUAAAAACUAAGGGCAAGAUAUAUAUAUAUACAUAUGUGCAUGAUACCUUCUUGUUACUUGGAGGGAGUCCCUAUCUUUCCUCUCUUUCUUCUCUAAUUGAAAACCUCAAAAAAAGGAAAUUAAAACCCAACAAAAAAACCAAGAAAGAAAGGGGGAAAAGCCGCAGCAAGCUCUCUGGGUGGCUAUUCCAAAAGCAAAACAAGAAAAAUGGUGAUGAAAUGAGGAAGAAGAGGAUACAGGAAAGAAGAUAUCUUCACUCCAUUAGUAUCAACACAUGGCACUUGAGAGGCUUGUCAACCCCUCCUUUUUCUCUCCUUUUCUCACUCACCAGUACUCCCAUUUUGUCACAAUCUAUCUCAGUGGAUACGACUCAUUAAUCUCUUGUUUAUCUCUUCAUUCAUUUUUUGUCACAACAUAUCACAGCUUCUACACUCAUUUCUCCGUGACUUGGUGCAGUCUCUUCCAUGGAUGCAGUGGUUAAUAACUCUAGAUUUCACAAAUCAAUCAACUCAUUUCCAAACGGACCUCAGCUUGCCACGUCAUCAAAAUGGGGUCCACUCAUCCACCAACUUUGUAUAAAAGUCAAUGGUCAACGCCUAUGGGUGUUUCUUGUUAGUAUCGAUACAUGCAACCUUCUUCUUAAGUGGGGUGUAUAGAAAUGGAUUCUUCCCAAACCCUAGCUAGUCCAAUUUUAGUUGUCAUUUGGUUAUUGUAGUUUUACAUUCCAAACAGAGUCCAAGCAAUAUAUAAAACAACAUUUCAAGAUAAUCUUAAAAAACAAAAAUAAUUCUUUUAAAAUUUUUUUAUAUAGUAUAUAGUUAUGAUUACAAUUGAAUUUUUUUAAUCUAAACAAUAUAUAAAAUAAAAUUUAUUAUAAAUUAAAAUAUAAAAUUUAUUAUAUACAACUGACAUUUUCAGGACAGAAAAUAUUUUUUAAAAACCAUUUUCAUUUGUGAUGUCAACUGACCCAGAAUAAAUAGAUUGGGCCCUUGUAAAGUUCGAGCCCAAGCCUUGGAUAUAGCUCCAGCCAACCAACAUUUCUUGGGUUGAGCAACGCAAGGGCCCAAACUCGAUACCCAUUCAACCUUAACGUUGAAUUGGGCCAGUCCAAUCCAACAAAACUCACUUUCAAUCAAAUUCAGGGAAAUUGUAGAUGAUCAAGACCUACUGCAUUGAUCAUGUUCUUUAAUAAAAAAAUUUUAUACUAUGAUCACUUUCAUGAUAUCCUGGUCUCUAUCAUUCUUUCUUACUAUGAUGACAUUCUUCAUUUCUAGUCAUAUUCGUUGGACCCUCAAUCAUAUGUUUUUUUUUGUACCGUAAUCACAUAUUUCUUUUACUCAUGAUGACCCUUUUUUUUUUCCUAAUGUUUUUACAGGCCUCCAAAUGAAAUUGACCAACAGAUUUGGACUUUUGUGACAUCAAAGAUUAAUCCGGCAAAUCUCACAUCAUGUUUUCAAUUUUUUUUUCUCAACGCUCCAUACCAAAAUUCCCAGAAAAACCCAUGUUUUCACUUCCUAGACAAUGGAAUCCCACUUCACAUUUCCUGAGGUACCAGGAGUUUCUUUCACUGGGAAAGGAAAAACCCUAAAAUGGGAAUUCCGAUUCCAGGACGUAUUGGAAUGUAGUUUCCCAAUUCUUUUCUGACUAAAAAACAAAAAAUCCGUCUACAAGAAAGCAAUGUUUCUAGGGUGGCACCCAAGAGUAGUAUUGACAAGGAAAAUAUGUUGUAUUACUAUCAAUGAGAAUCCCAAAAUCAAAUUCUGCUGCAGAACACAGAAAACCAUUUCCAAACAGGUUUUCCCCGACCACCCCACUCCAACAAAAAGAGCCCUGUGGGUUCAAACCACCAUUUCCAAACAGGAAAAUUACUCCAAAAUUAGUGAAAUCAAGUUGGAUUUUUACAUAUAAGACAAGACAUUAAACUGAACUGGUUGAAGUGUGGUUUAGUGUUCAUCAGAUUGGAGCUGAUGAAUGCUCAUCUGAAGUUCCAAUGGACAACUCCAAAUCUGGGAUGUGGGGGUCUUUGAGCUGAGGGAUUGAAGUGCUCUCACAACUUCAAACAUGGUCGGCCUUUUCUCAGGCAUUACAGAGGUGCAUCUCAGGGCCAUUUCCAGAGCACCCAGCAUCUCUUGCUGUGAAGAGUUUGAAAUCUUGGGGUCAAGAACUUGGAGAGCUCCAUCGGUAAUGUUGAUUUUCCGUCUAACCCACUUCACAAUAUCAAUAGACUCUGCUGAUUCUGCUUGCUCGGCUUGCCGGCCUGUCACGAGCUCUAGCAGCACAACACCAAAGCUGUACACAUCCAUUUGUUCUGUGGCUCUCUUGCUGUAUCCAUUUUCUGCAUUUGAACAAUGAGGGUGGAUAAGAAAAUUGAGAUACAGAGAUAUAUAUACAUAUAGCAAGAAGUUUAUAGACGCCCAGAAGAUUUGUACCUGGUGCAAUGUAACAUGAGAAAGCAGAUUCUGAAGCCAUGGUCGAUUGAAAUGCAGUUUCUCCCACAAUCCGAUCCAGAGCGAAAUCCGUGAGCUUUGGUUCCAAAUCUGCAUCCAGAAGGAUGUUUUUGGACUUGAGGUUUCUGUGAAGUAUAUGUGGAACAUAGUCCUUGUGAAGAUAUGCUAAUCCUUGAGCAACCCCAAUGGCAAUCCUCAAUCUAGUACUCCAUUGAAACUGAAAAUCUGGUCUGCAUAUCAAAUCCCCCAAGCUCCCCUUCUGCAGAAACUCAUAUAUCAGAAAGAUAGAGUCACUGGAGUGGCAGAACCCCAGAAGUUUGACUAUGUUCUUAUGCCUGAUCUUGGCCAAUGUCUUUACUUCAUUCUUCAGUGAUUUUGAAGACUGGCUCCCAGGAUUGAGAAGCUUCUUGACAGCCACAAGCUCACCACUUGGUAAGCUUAUGAUGUAAACUCUACCAAAAGCUCCACCACUUCCUACCGCGCUUUUCUCAUCCAUUCCCAUGAUCAAGUCAUGCUCUGUGACUCUAAGGGGGUAGAAGAAAACUGAUCUCCAGACACCCAUUUGAGAUUUCCGCUGGGAAGUCCGAUAAAUCACAAAGAACCCAGCUGCAAUGAUCAAAAUUCCAGCACCAAGAGCCAGAGAGAUGAGGGCACAUGCUAAUUUUGUAAGACCACCAGCCUUAUGUAUGGGCUCAUCAUCAUAACAAGAAUUGGGUAAUCCUGGGCCACAAAGUUCCGGAUUUCCUUGCAGAAAUGAAGCCGGAAGGCCGGAGAUCAAAGGGAAUGGAACCUUUCCGGAGAGGUGGUUGAAGGAUACAUUAAAGAGAGCAAGUUUCAAGUUUUGAAGCUCCUGUGGAAUUGAACCAGUGAGAUUAUUAUCCGAAAGGUCAAGGUAAGUGAGCACAGGUAAUUCAGCGAGGGAUGCAGGGAUUUGCCCAACAAGACUGUUGUCCGCCAGAGACAAUGAGACUAAUUUCCGGCAUUUCUUCAACUCUGGAAUUAGACCAGAGAGCGAAUUGUGGGAGAGAUUUAUUAUACUCAUAACUGGUGAGUCACAGAAAUUUGGAGGAAGUUCACCAUAGAAGCCAUUAAGAGAUGCAGAAAAUCUAUAUAAGCUCCGGACUGACCCAAGGCCCUGAGGAAUUUUACUAGUGAAGCUGUUGUUAUCAAUCUGAACUUGCUCCAACUGAGCAGCCACUGAUAUGGAAUCCGGUAUUUCCCCAGAAAAUCUGUUGUUUUCAGCUCUAAUGAGCUUGAUUUUGGGUAAUGACCAUAACCCAUUUGGGAAAUCACCAGAAAACCCAUUGUUCUGAACUUGAAACCUCUCAAGAUUCAAGCACUCACUAAUGGAGUUGGGUAUUGAACCACUGAAGGAAUUUGUAUGGAGGCUGAGGUUUAUGAGGCCUUUUCCUCGGCAUAUGCCAGUGGGAAAUGAACCCAGAAGGUUGUUUUGUGAAACAUCAAAAGAUACCAAGUUCUUAAGAGAAGCUCCUAGUGUCUGAGGUACCCCACCAGUCAGAUUGUUCUGAGAGAGGUCCAAAAUGGUUAACCCCUGCAAGCCAGCAAAGGAUUGAGGAAUCUCACCAUAAAAACCAGAGCUUUGGAGUAGAAGCUGCUUAAGCUUCUCAAGCUUGCCAAUGCCACCAGGAAUCUCACUCACCAAAAAUCGAUUUUGAGACAAAUCAAGAACAAGAAGCUCAGUGAAAUUCCCAAAAACAGAAGGAACACUACCUGAAAGCAAGUUGCUUCCCAAGUUGAGAACUUGCAGAUUCUUCAGUGACCCUAUGGUUUCUGGGAUCUUCCCUUCAACGUGGUUUCUGCUGAAAUCAAGCGUUCUCAAUGAACCAAACUGAGAAAUUUGCUCUGGGACUGUACCCCAAAUGAGAUUGUUACUGAGAUUCAAAGUCUCCAAAGAACUGCACUGGGAGAGAUGGAGAGGAAUGGGUUGGUUGAAGAGAUUGUCAGCAAGGUUAAGGUAAGAGAGAUUGUGGAGUCCACACAGAGAAGCAGAGAUUUCCCCAGAGAGGUUCAGGCUCUGAAGGUUGAGAGAGGUGACAGAGAGAGGUGGUGUGGUGGUGCAGGUGACUCCAGUCCAGUUACAGUGGUGAGUCUCAGAAGUGUUGGACCAUGUGGAGAGAUACUUCAUGGGGUCUUCAAUGGAGGCCUUAAAUGUGAGAAGGAUCUCUGCUUCAGAUGAAGCAGAGGCCACGAUGAAGAAUGCGAAGGUCAAAGAGAAGAACAGAGGAUAUGUGCAGAAGCUAGCCAUUGGAUUUGGAAGAGACCGAGUCACUCUGAGAGAGAGAGAGUGAGAGAGAGAGAGAGGGGAGCUGGCUGGUUAUGUUGCCUCAGUCUUUUGUAUAUAUUAGUGAAGUGGGAGACUGUGACUCGCUCGGAAAGAAGAGGAGAUGUUGAUUGGUUCUAGGGCAUCUAUACAAAAUUGAUGCAGAGUCAUCAACAUCAUAAUUAGGAGAUCUUUUUUAAUAAAAGAUAGAAUUUAAGAUGGAUUGUCUUUUAGGCAAAGAAAAUUUCCUAAAUUCCAUGAUGAGAAAAUAGUGGGAAUUCCCAAAAACUCCAUAACAGUAACUUUGGAAAUCCCUAACCCAUAAUUUAGACUUGCAUUCUAAUCAAAUAUCAUCCAGGGUAUGGGAAAUAAUUACUUGUGACCUACACAUUUGUUGAUAUCCCCACAAACAAACAAACAAACAAAACACAAUCAACAACUGAUUUGAAAUGUUAUACAAAUCAAAAUGGACUAACCCAAUUUCCCUAUACCCUCAUAUUUGAUGUCAUCAUGAUUCAUGGUGGAGUUGAAGAAUUAUGGUAUUGGGUCAAGGCCACAACUUUUACCUAAAGCAAUUAAGCCAAAAAAAUGAGAAAGAAAACAGGGAAGGGAAGAGGGAAUGCACAACCCGUGAGCAUAUGUAGAGACAGAAAAGGGGGGAGAGAGAGAAAGAGGAGAAUGAAGACAAAAGUGGAUUGAAGUCUACUCCUCAUGUGGCAACGUGGGAUCUGUUUUCAACGCCCCUUCUUCUCUAACUUGUACAGAAGCUGGGUGUGUGGGGAGGAGGAUACUGUAAUAUUUACUAAUGUUGUUAGUGUUGGCUGUAGUGUAAAAUAUGGCUGCCUGAAAAUGCAGAGGAAAUGAAGGAUGGGGUGAGUGGUCACUUUCAAAGUUGAAUAGAGUUGUUUUCUACUCCCAAAAUCCUAGAAAGAUAACCCGCUUUCAACGCUGAGACGCCCCUACCAACCACGUAAAUCAAAAAGCCCAAAGGGGUCCUCUCUCCCCCCUUCUCUCAUCUCUCAUCAAUGCCUGCUAUGUUUAUUCAAUGAAUCCAAUGCUGUAAUUAUAGUGGCCCCCCCUACUUUUAAUCUUAUUCUUCUAUACUUGUUUUUCAUUUUUUGUUUUAUUCUCGUCUUUUUCAUUUUUCCUUUUUCUUUUGUUACUGCCAUGUUCUGAAUAUAAAAUUUGAAAUUAAAUUUUUUUAAAUAAUAUAAAGGGUAUAAAAAUUUAUUGGAUUUAUAUAUAUAUAUAUAUAUAUAUAUAUUAUAUUAUAUAUAUAUAAAAGAGAAUUAUUAAAAAUUAAUUAAUUAAAAGAAAUGAAAUAACUCCCAAAUUUAUGAAUUUUAACAUUUUUCAUAUUUUUAUUUAAAAAAUAAUUUAUUUUAGACAUUAAUAUUUUUUAUUAUUUUAAAUAUUUUAAAAAUGUUUAUUUUUAUAAUAAGAAAUAAUGAUAUUUUUAUCAAAAUGAAAUCAAAAAAAUGAUGAAAAGUUAAAUUUCAAAAUUUGGGUUUUGAACUAAACUUUUAACAAUAUAACUUAUUAUUAAAUAUAUUCAUUUGAGCUCUUUGCACAUACAUAUUUUUCUUGUUCUUUUUUUAAAACAAAAAAUGAAUUUGAAGAAAAAGGAAGAAAAAAAGAAAAUAAAAAUAAAAUUGAAGAAUGUGUUUAGGGUUUGAAUUAGUAAGGUUGAAAAAGAUAAGGAAAGUUUGGAUGAAGGAUUUUAAUAAUUCUUUAUAAAAGAAAUGAAUAAUUAAUAUUAAAACCAAUUUAAAAGAGACUUUUUAGGAAGAUUAGAAACAUUUCUCCAAACUUAAAAUAUUUUUCUUGUCAAAAUCUAAUAAAAUUUUAAAGAUAUAAAAUACUAUUUAAAUGAUUAUUAAAGUAAUAAUUGAUGAAUGUUGCUCUUAAAAUAAUUUUUUGUUAAUUGAUAUAUUAUUAAAAAUACUAAAAAAAAUGAUUUAUAUUCAAAAAAUAAUUAAUUAUUUAAAAAAAUAUUUACAACAAAAAGAAAUUCAUUUUUUUCUCUCUAAAUUACAAAUUUUCUUCUUUUUGGUCGAAAUGGGAUCCAAAACUGAACAAGAAAAUCAAACAAAAAAAAAGUGAACAGAGAAAAAGGUAAUAAAAAAUUAAUCAUUAAAUACUUGAAAAUUUAGGAAGCAAAAGUGAUUGUGAAAUAGGCUGUCGUCCACUGAGACAAAAUGGGAUGAGUAGUGAGUACAUUAUUCGUACAACAGUGAAAAAGUGUAGGUGAAAAUGUCAAGCUGAAGCCUGAAGCUUUCUCCAUAUGCUGACUUUUUUUUUUUCACCCCUGUUUUGACUUUUAACCGUAGAAAUAUUAAGAGUCCAGGACAGCUAUUAUUGCAGCCUUCGGCCAAAGAAAAAUAAAGAAAAUUUUAUGUCACUUCAUCUCUUAAAUGUUGUUCAGAACUCAAAUAAUUAAACAAAAUUCCAUCCCACACCCACAUGGCCCAAAAGCACAUCUAGCUUGUGCUUUUUUCAAAAAGAAAAAAAAAAAAGGCAAAAAUGAAAAAACUUUGUUUGUUGUGUUGCCUGCAUGCCAUGUUAUCCCAUUAUUCUCCACUGAAAUGGUCAACAUGUCAUUUACCCAUCAAAUAAUGAUCAAAUGUAACUGUUAGUGGUCACUUGUUGAGAAUCCAAUAGUCCCAAGAAGUGGAAUUUUAUAUGAUGGGAGUUUGUUUGGAUGGUCACUCAAGAAGAGUCAACCCUUUUCACGGAUUGAUCUUGCAGUUUGAACACAUCGAGCUGUGUUUGUAUGCCUUGGAAUGAUCAAACCCAUAUGCAAAAACCGUUUUAUAAUGUGGGUUUUUUUUUUUUUUUUUUUUGAGAAUGUGACCUAAUUGGAAGAUGUGUUCAACCCUUAAAAAUCGUCUAAAACUUUGGUGUGUAAUGGGAGUAUGGGUAUUUGAGUUGGUUGAAAUUUGGCUCAUUUGAUUUUUGUUACUUUCCAAAGGUUUCCUAAGCAUGUUCUUGGGGUUAAAACUUUAUAAAAGAGUCAACACCCCAAAUCAAGUAUUGAGAGAAAAAAAUAAAUAAACUUUAAAAUAAUGAAAGCAUCCAAGGAACCAUACAAGGAGGGAGUGUUGAGAGUUGAGAGAGAAGAAGAGAAAGAAAGGAGGCAUGGGUGUUUGUGCUAUUGUGUGUUUUGUGAGAUAUAUAUAUAUAUAUUCCCUAGAUGACAAGUCCCAACAAUGGGGAUUAUAAGAGAGGGCUUUUUGUCUUUGGAGAGCGAACCAGACAUGAGAGUGGUGGGGCUGGAUGGAAAGUGGGUGUAAUCAAAUUUCACUUAUGGCAAUGAGGAAAGCUAUAACAACAAUAAUACGCAGCAACACUAUCAAACCCACCAACACCAGUCACCACCACCCCAUGCGGCCAUGCCCCUUUCAGAGGGGACUCUUGACUCUCAGAGAGAGUGGGGUCGGUUUCUAUUCUCUUAAUUUUGCAAUCCAUGUUCCCAAUAAUCCCUUAAAGGGUCUUUUCAUUUUUUUGGGUGUGGGGCGCCAUAGCCCACCAUUUUUAUAGGGUUCUUUGGGUUUCAUGAGGUUGGCCCUUUCCCGAUUAGGCUUUACAAGAAAAGGAUGUAUAGAGUGAGGUUUCAAUUCAUAGUCUAUGCGAGGUAGGGACAACGAGUUGUGUUUUGGUUUGGACAAGUCACUCCAUCUCAUUUAUUUAAAUUUGUUCGUAUUCUUAUAAGAAAAAAAUAAAUUUAUACAUAUCUGCCCGUUUAUUUUUUUAACCUAUGUCCUUUGAAAAUACUCAUUUUGACUUCAUCUUCCACUAACCAUUCGAAACAAGUUAUUAACAAUUUCAGAAAAAUUCUGUGGGCUUUGAUAGGCAAACUGACCUAUGGGCCUGAUGCUGGACUGGCUUAUUGUUAGGGAAGGUGGAGCUUGGGCUUGUUUUUUACCCUAAAAUCUAAUAUGAUUGAUCUACGAGCUAGUUUUCUAAUUUAAAAAUUCACAGGCAAAUUUUUUAAUUACAGUAGAUUUUUAAGUAGAUCCAAAAUGUUUAAAUAAUACUUUAUAAGAAAUUGCCUUAAUAUUUGUUUUUUUAUGUCACAUUGUUAUAACUCGUUUAAAAUUACAUUAUUAUGACCAUAUUAUAUCAAAUUAUGUCAUUAUGACCUAAUAAUAUGAAUGACUAUUCCCAUAACCUAUCUCAACUAUAUACUAAGUUGGCCAAUCAUGAAAAAUGUUAAGAAUGACCAUUCCUAUAUGUGAAUUAACAAAUUCCAGAACUACAAUAAAGCAUUGGGAGAAACCAUAAAAGAAUUAAAAAGAAAAAGAAAAUACCACAUUGAAAAUGGGAAUUUUGGAAAGCUGCUCAGCCGAGGUGGUAGAGAAGUUUGAGAUGGUGAGAUGGACAUGAGUGGAAUUUGGAAACGAAAAGUCCCUCUUUAAACGUGAGGCGGAUGCCCUUUUUCUCUGCCGUCAUCCCACUCAAUAACACUCAUCCAUCGCCGACUCAUCAGUAUUAUGUGGCACUUGCAUGGUUGCCCACGAUUUUCCACCACCAAACUUGUCCAAAAUCCCCCCCUUCAUCGUCAUCAUCUCUGUUCUUACUGUGCCUGAUUGAGAUUACCACUUCCAACCUUUUCCAGUUUCCUUUGGUUUUCAUUCAGUUGUCUCGGCGACCAAACAGGAGGCAGGCUUUCACUUCAAUGCUCAAUGCUGAGAACACGGCUUUUAACAUCUUUUCAUCUCCAACUUGUAGGAAAAGCCAAAAACAAAAUUUUUAAACUCACAAGCUAAAAAUAUAUUGAAAUCACUAUGACUAUGAGAACAUUUCAAUAAGCUAUUAAUAUAUAUACACCCUCAUGCAUUUCUCACUGAAAUUAAAACUGCGGGGGGAGGUUUUUCAUCAACAGCCAUCCCUUCCAAUCUAGAACCGCUUCCAGAAGUCCAACUACGUGGAAUAAACCCAACUUUGUUUUGAACAGAAUCAAAAGAUUCAAACAAUCAGGAAGAAAAGGCAUAUUUUGGCUUCCAAUCUAAGCAUCAUUGCAAUAAUCAUUUAGAUGAUGUUUGUUUUUUUGACUUUUUGCUGAAAAUCAUUUAGUUUUAAAAUUUAGGUUGUUUGUUUUUUUAUUUUUUCAUGACUUAUUAUAAACUUUUUACUAAAUAGAAAAAGCCAAAAUAUGUGACUUUUUCUAAAUAAAAAAAAUAACACAAUGGUUUUUUUUACUUUUUAAUACUUAAUAGAAAUAAAAUACUACAAAAACAAACAACCUAAUAUUUAAUACUAUUAAGUAUUAAGGUUCUAUUUAAAAUUAAGUAAAAAAACAAACACCACCUUAGUAAGUGAACACCACCUUAGUAAGUGAGAGAGAGAGAGAGGGACAGAGAUGCUGCUUCCAAUUUGAAUGGUUCAACUAGGAAUCAAACAUUUUCACAAUAAAAAAUUUCAGUAUGAAUUUUGAUUUUGAUACUCUUUUUUUUUAAAUACAUUUAUUACCCGGGCGUCUGUGAAAUCCAGUCAAUCCAUGGCAACAUUGAUCAGGCCCUUCAGCACAUUAAGAAGGGGCAUUUCUUUAUCUUAGGAAAGAAAUGAUUCAGUAUUCACGUACCGGAACCCUGCUAGCAAAUAUACAAAGGUACUCAAGGAACAUUCCAAACUGCUUCAGGAAUAUACAUUUUUACCACAGGCAGAGAGAUCUUAUGGAAAACCAGUCAGUCAAGCACAUAUUUCAUAACACAAGUCACAAGCACAUAAAAUGCCUGCUCAGUAUAUUUUCCAACAUAAGAGAGGAAGUUGAGAAAACACAUUUGCUGUUCAAGGAAUAUUUUCGAGUAAUCACUGUGGGCCACAAGUACAUGGCUCUGGAUCCAUAUUUCAAACGCAGGUAACAAUGAAAGAUGUUGUGCCACCACCAUCACCAUACAAAUAAACCAAUAACCAUAAAGCAACAAUAUGUAUCACUCACACAACCUCACAAAAGCUUCAUUCACCAACAAUUAAUACCACACCAUAUUCAGUGGGGGCGAUGCCAUGGGAGGAAUCACACAGCUUUACAUCAGAGGGAAAAAAACAGUAGGAACUAUGGAUCAGUAUUAACAGCAAUUAAAUAUGAAGCCAUAAUCAUCAAAGAGAAGCUGCAACAAUUUACCUAAUUGGCUAAUUAACAGAUUUAGUUGAAAGCAUUUCAAACCUCCCACUUGAGUCCAUUACAUAAUUUUUUGAUUCUUAAAUCAUUAAGACACUUGGCAAACCUCUUGACCCAAAUGUUUGCAUCAGCCACCUAUUAACAUGUCACCCUUCAAAGUAUGAUUAAUAUUUAAGACAAAUAAAACACAAACUGAGAACACAAAUUGAUAUCCACAAAGUUACACUUAAAACAGGCAGAAACAAGCAGUCAUUUCCCCAUGUUUCUAUAAAUCAAAUAAUAUCUCUUGUGCACCUUCAAACUUAAACAGGCCUAAUUGAAAGAAGACAAUUUUGUUAGACCAUAAGUGCAUUUUGCCACUUACCACCCUAUUUCUAUAAUUCUCUUUCCUUGCUAAGGGUUCAUUUGGUUCUUGGAAAGGAGGGGGGAGCGCUUAAAAAUGGAUUUAAAUCUUAAAACAUUCUCUCAUUUUCAUUCUUUCUGAGAAAUAAACAAACCUAAUAGACCGAGAAGAGGGAUUUAAUGAAUUUUCCUCUUCUUCAUCCUCAAGCAGUAGUGUGUUAGAAAAUGUGAUACAUUUCAUAGCAUCAUCAAGCAGCAGUGUGUUAGAAAAUGUGAUACAUUUCAUAGCAUCAUCACCCAUUUAAUUGACGUGAAAGGCUUCCAUGAUACUCCACUUCUUUGUUCCCUACUCAUUUAAUCAGUAGUGUCCUCCUCAAUCUCAACCUUCACCAUGGGCGAGGACUCCAAGCCAAAAGAGACAAUUUCAUAGCAAUUUAAACACAGCACAAAGAACUUGGCUCUUGUAUCUGAUAUUUUUUUUCUUAGGUAAUUCUUUUUCUUUUUCCAUUUUUCUUGUCCCCAUUGGGACUUCAACUUGGAACCUCCCAUAAAACUUCCCCAACCCUUUACCACUUGAGCCAAGCCUGAAGGGCUCUUGUAUCUGAAAAUUUUAACAAACUAAUUAAUCACCAUUUUUCUACACAAGAUUAAAAUAGAGAAUCUCGAUACAAAAGAGCUUACAAGACUACUAAACUAGUGCAUUUGAUAUGAUAACAAAGCAUCAAGUAAGUGACAUUCAAUCACCCUAAAAAAGAGCAGUGUGUGAAACCUAGGAUCAGAGAACCCACAUGAAUGAUAAAACCAGAAUCUACCAAUAUAGUCCUUAAUUUUAUCUAUUAAAAAUUUCCAAUUAUACUUUACAAAUGAUCAAAAUAAAGCUAAAAUGCACAUUCUCUACCAAAAACCAAAGUCCCUUACUCCAAAUAAUAGAACCCUAGCAGGUGGAGACAGUGGACAAGGGAAGAUGCUACAACAGUCACAGGAACUUGUAGCUUUAUAAAAGUUCUUCACCCUGAAGAGAGCCUUGUAAAAAUAAUUUUGUAUCACCCAAAGCCCAAUUAAUAGUAAGAGUGCACAUUUUCCCACAUGCACCUAAGGAGGUCCUGAUCCACCCAAUACUCCCAAAACCAAAAUACAGAAAGAACUUUUGAAUGACCUAAACAGUUGAAAACAAAAAUUUUAUAAAUAUACUUCUUGAAUACUAAAAACUUGGAACAUCUGCAGAUCCUAAAAUAUCCAAUGCUUAUACAACAUCAACCAACCUGCUAUAAUUUCUGAGCAUCUGCUGAAAUAACCCACCACUCCUUGAAGAAACCUCAACCAACCAUCUUAUUUGCAUAGACCAGAUAACAGAAACCUAGAAUAAAACUAGAAAAGCCCAGUGGUGGAUGACACUUUGACUGCACAGUGGAUGUAAAAAAAAAAAAUUAACUUUGGACCAGAAUUAUUAUAUGGGACAAACAUAACAUAAAAAAUACUUGCUAAAAGGGAACAAAUAACUGGCACAUCACAUCAUCUCAAAUUCAGGUCUCUCCCCCCAUGGUUCCUAUGGAUUGCCCAGUCACGCUUUGAUUACCGUCUGAUUAGUAUAGUGCCUAUCCAUAACAGAAAAACCUUCUUAGAAUUGCAUCAGUGGAGUACCUCCAAUAAGUCUAUUAGAAGUAUCAGUGGGCAAAGAUAACAAGAUGCAUCUAUACUAGUAAAAGAUGAAUAAAUAUUCAUAAAUAAAGCCUAAAAAGGAAACAUAAAAGUGUAAUAGAGCCAAUAGAAGCAUAUACCAAAUCUACAGUCCUAGUCUGAACUGUGAUAAAGACAUCCAAAAUCCAGUAAUCCUCCAGAUGAAUACAAUAACAGGAACAAAAGAUUGAAGUAAAAACAUGUCGAUUUACAACCAGGAAAAAGAAAGAUUCACCAUUCGUAUCUUGAUGACAUGGUUCCAAAUCUAUGUUGAACACAUCAGUGAAGUAUGAAGUUAAAAAUGGACCACCACCAAGAGAAAAAAAUAAAGAAAAAAAUAUUAACACACAUAUAUGUAUUUCAUACUAAUAAAUGGGGCAAAUACCAUUUAGCAUGUACUACCAGAGAGAAUGCGUAACAAUCAGUUGAGCAAAAUACAAUGUAACCACAAAGAUGUUCAUCAAACCAGCACAAAUAAAGACUUACACACAGGAGCCAACAUACCAAUCCUCGCCAAUCAACAAGGAAUAUAGAGUUCUUUAGACUGCAAAGAUGCCCUCACUCUCACAACCUGAACCAUUUGUAUCAAUAAAGGACACCUAACAAGACAAGCAGCCAACUUAGACAAAGACACAUGGAUGACAAGAGAAGCAUUUUACUUCAGACAUAAACCAUGGUACUUAGAUUUUAUCGAGCUUUUCAGCUUUGACAACAGGGUUGGCUUUAGCAAUAGCAUCCCGUGCAGCAGUCCGGUAAUCAAAGGGGCAGUCAUGUUUGUCAGAGUAGCGAUGAACUGCACAAAAGAGGUUACCACAUUUGCAAUUGAAACCCGUUAAACCUACACGCUUUCGACAUGCGGUGCACCGAUUUGGUCCCUCCUUGACCUUGGACUCAAUGAUCUGGUUUGAGGAUGAGUCAUUGGAAGCUUCAGCAGAAAUGGCCUUCACCUCCACUGGUCCAGCUUGCACAUCCACGGUACCAGCAACAAUGGGCUCCUUUCCAUUGCCGCUAGAGCUUCCAUUCACAAUGCUUCCAAUGGAUGAUGCUGCAAGUUUGGCUUGUUCUUGCUUCAGGGCCAAGUCCUUGUGGCACUUGGAACACAUAUUCAUGGUGGCAGCACUCCCAAAGAAGCCACAGUUAUUAAUGCAAAGAAUUGGGCCUUCUGGAGCUUGGCAUCCUGUCUCAUCAUGAGACUCCAUCUUUUAACCCUCCUGCACAUCAUGAUCCCAACAUAUCCAGAUAUAAAAUGUGAGCCAAACCCAAAUACAACUAUGUAUGAACAAACAUGCAUGCAUUUCUUGCAUAAGAGCAUACAUAUUACAACUCACACCAGAUGUUAAAACUAAGACAAGAAGACAUGAAGCUGUCAAGAAUGAGCACUUGAGUAUAAAAGCAGACAAAACAUGGAUAAAGUGAUAUAAUUUUAUAAUCAUUCCCAAAUAAGUAAUGUUCACAAUUCUGAGUGGUAAUUAUAUGUUCAUCAUUUCUCCUUUCAAUUCAAGCAAAAUGAGAUCAUUUCAUGCUAGUUUCAAUACUAUGCUAAGAAAUAAUAAUAAUAACAGCAAUAACACAUGGAACAUAUUGUUUAUAGUCCAGACCCUCAACUCUAGUCUGCCAACAAAAAAAAAAUCCAAACCUUUCAUUUAAUGUAUAUAAAAAUAAAAAAGCAGGUUAGUAAUCCUGAUCUAUAACAAGAAGAAAAGGGUCCAUGGCCUCGGUCACAUCCAAUAAGAACCAAACAUGAACAAGAAGCUCGUCAUCUCAAAUAGAAAACAACAAAUCAACACAUAAAACGUAAAGAAUCCCCUUUAAGCAACAAUCUUAAUCAAAAUGGGUAAUAUUCCGAAUGUGUUGAUAAAACAUUUGGCCACAAUAUUACAAGCCAUAUCAUCGAAAAUUAACAAAGCCCAUUGACAUGAUAAAAAAUUCAGCUUCUAAAAUAACAAGCAAAAGCACAUAUAUAUAACAAGGAAAUCAUCACAAUAUUAACCAGUACAGCGGAUAUUCCAGAUGGGUUGAUUAAAAACCCUAAAUUCCCCAACCCAGCGAUGAAUUUGGCCCAAGCUGUACAAGUCAUAUCGUAUUAAAUUCAAAACAUGUAUAUCUAAUAUAUUGAACACACAUCUUCUAAUAACAUUCAAAACAUGUAUAGCUAAAUACAUCUUCCCAAACGUAUAUAAAUCGAAUUUUAAAUAUAUUUCAUACUGAUAUAUUUAAAAUUCGCAGAAGAUAGAAAAGAGGCAGGAGUAAAAACCCUAUGAGAGAGACAUAGAGAAACCCUCACCUGAUUGGUUAGGUUUGGCCGAUCUCGACUCACAAAAUCGAACCAGAAGAUGAUUCCUGGCUCAAUUUUAAAACCCUAAUUCAAUUAUUUAAAUUUAAAAGGACAAAAAAAACCGGAAUCAAAGUCAAAUCGACAUGAAGAAAUUUGAAACUGAUUUGAUGAGAUAGCAAAAGCUUAACCUAAUUGAGGAGAUAAUCGUAUAUAAAUCGGAGAAAUAGAGACCAGCAGGAGAGAGGAGGAAGGGGUAGAGAGAGAGAGGGGUUGGGUUGGGUUCGGAAAAUGUGUCCCUGGUUCUAUUUAAGACUUUACCUUUUCUUUCUGCCAACGAUCCCUUUGAACUGAGUCGGUGCUUUCUCAUUUCCUAACCUUCAUUCUCCCUUUAUUUACUCAAUUGCCCUUCCCUUGUAUUUUUUAAAUAUUGUAGAAAAAUAUUAAUAAAUAUAUAAUAAAACUUUUUGAAAAUUUGGAGGGAAAAUGUUAUAAAAAAAAAAUUAAAAAUAGAGUUAGGGAAAAAUGAGUUUCAAAUCAUUAAUUUUAACAAAUAUAAAAAAACAACUUCGACUUCUUCACUCAUUUAAAAAUAUUUUAAAAUAUUUACUCUUUUUUAUAAUCGAAUAAUUAUUUUCCAAAAAUUAUCAUUUUCCUUUAUAAUGUUAAUAACAUCGAUAGACAAAAAAACUGAAAUUAGAUUUAAUAAAAUAAAAAAAUUUAAAUAUUUAAAAAUAUAAUUAAAACUAAAAAAUAUAUAUAUAUUAACUUUCAUUUAAUUAAAAUACUCUCCCAGAUAUUAUAGAUGUCGAAAAAGAAGUAUAAAUAUAAUGGGAGUAAGUAUUUUAUUUUUUAAAAUUUUAAUUAUAUAUAUAUAUAUAUAUAUUUUAGUUUUAAUUGAAUUUUUUAUUUUUAACAUUUCUUAUUUUAUUAUUGAUAUUAAUUAACAAAAUUUUUAUUCAAUUUUAUUACAAAAAAUAUGAGAAAAUGAAGGGAUUUAUAUAAUAUAAUAUAUAAAAUCACUAUUAAUUAGGGGAUAAGAAAUAUCUUAUUUAUUACAUGAGGUCUUAGAAAAAUUUUGAUAAAUUAAAUUUGAAUAAUUUUAUUUAAUAUUAUUAAAUGGUAUUUAAGAAAAUAAUUAUUUAACUUAUAAAAAAUACAUAUAUUUUUAAAUAGAUGAAGAUUUUUUUUAUAUAUUUUAAAAAUUGUGAGUUAAAACUCACUUUUGUUAUACUUUUUCUAUUAUUUUUUAUAUAAAGAAUUAAAAUUUAUUUUCAAUUAUAUUUAAUUUUUUCACAAUAUAAAAAUGAGUAUAAUAUUUUUUUUUUUUUUAAAUCAAAUAUAGCUAAUUUUGAAACCUGCAUUUUAUUAGGCAAAAUUAUAUCUUAAUAUAAUUCAUAAUAAAAAAUAAUACAAUUUUAUGUGAAUAUAAAAUAUUUAUUUAUAGUGAUUAUUUAGGAAAAGGGCAAAUCGGGAAAAACCCAUAUAAAAUAAGCAGUUUUCUCCUGAAAAGGACAAAAUUGGGUAUAAUGUCUGUGGCAUUAUUAUUGAGGGAGAAGGAGUAAUGAUUUCACUUUUUUAAAAAUAAAAUUAUUUAACUAAUUAUUUUUAUAAAUAAAUUAUUUAUGGAAACAAAUUAUUUUUCAUAGUUUUAUAAAUAAAUGAAAAUUAUUUGUCAAAAUAAUUAUUUUUAAAUUAAAUAUAUUUCAUAAAUUUUCAAAAAUUUUAAAUAGUUUUCAUUUUUUUUUUUUUUUGGUGUGUGUAUAACAGAAGCGACAUUUCCAAUCGAAAUAUCUAUAAAUGGCAAUAUCUAAAUGGAUGAGAUAUUUGAUUAUUUUUCUUCGUAAGGUGAUAAUUUUUAAAAAAAUAUGAACAAUGGCAAGAUCAGAGCCGCUCAUCUUAACAUUUAGGGCCCACCUACAUGGACGGGCCAGAUGGAUCAAGAUCCACUAGUCGGCGGGAAAAGGGAAAGUGAAGGUAGAAAUGGCGGGAACUCAACAAAACCCUAUAAAUUGAACCCAGGUUCAUUCCAUCUUCGAACCUUCGGUCUUUCCUUAGAAAAGAGAGGAAAACCAAAAUGGGGAAGAAAAAGAAAACUAGAGUUUCUGAUAACAUCGCCGAAGAAAAAGAGUAUGUUGGUCAGUCUUCCAAAGAAGAAGAGUAUGUUAGUCAGUCUUCCACAAACGAGAGGAGCCUGUACGAGGUAUGUGAAAAUGUUUCCGAUCCCCAUUUUCAUGGUAGGAGAUUUCAUUACUUGUUGACUGGUGUUUGGGAUUUUUUUUUAAAUUUUUUUUAGGGUUUUGGAUGAUCGUCUUUCUUGAUCUGGACUUUUUUUUUUAAGAUUAUUUUAUUUUUUGUAACUGGUAAUAUCAAAAUGUAUGGUUGAAAUUUGUUAAUGAAUGAACAGAUGCAUAAGACAACUUUCCUGGGUUAGGUGCGACAGUUAGUGGUUUGAUUGCAAAAGGGGUCGAUCCAAGUGAGUAUGAGUAGCGUACACAGCUCAUAAAAGAAAGAGAAAACAUUUUAGUGAGGGCAAAUUUAAUUCGGAAAAUCCACAAUCAUAAAUUCAUUAAAUAAAAUCACGGGAUCCUAAUGACCAAAAGAAACAAGGGUUUCAGAAUGAAGUUUCUUAGGGUUUAGUGCCGUUUUGGCAGGAAGUUGUGGAACUUAUUUAAGGGAGUUUCAUUACCAACUCUUGGGAGCUGGUUUUUGAAGGUAUUCCUAUUUCGCCAAUUCUUUGUGACUGGAAAGGGGUUUUAUUUUUUAUUUUAUUUUAUUUUUAUAUUUUUUGUGUUGCAUGCGAUCCCUUCAUUUUGUAUGCUUUUUAACCCUUAAUCAAAUCCAACUCCAGCAAGGCUAUCGAUUUGUAGAAAAUCCUGGCCGGUUUGGAGUUAGGGUUUUGAAAUAGUGGAGUGGUUCAUUCAUCAAGCAAACACAAAGCAUAAAUAAUGCCUGCUUUUUUUGCAAAAUAGUAAAUGGCACACUACAGAAUUUGUUUUUAGAUGAAUAUUUUGGGGAAUUAGUCAUUUUCCAUCUAAAGGAUUAUAGGAGCUGCUUACCCUUCAAUUAUUCAAUAAUUGAAGGCCACUCAGAGUGGGAUUAACUAAGCCACAAGAAGUUGAUGUCUUGUGGUAACUAUUAUUCUGUGGAAGGCAAUUGCAGUGCUUUGAUUAUGGAUUAAGAAUUUUAGCAAAGUGGACAGCUGGUCUUUCCAAUACCUUGGUUGGACUCCUUUUCUGGAUUCCUGGGACAGAAUCUCUCCCAAUGUGGGCUGAUCUUGCUUGUAGGUUGCCAUAGGUGGUUAGAUGCUGCCUUCCAGUUUUGGUGUUGCUUUCAUUUGACCUUUGCAUGGCUAUGCGUAUUUGUUCCUAUCUUCUGAUGCAAAUUAUUCUCAUUGGAAUCAUGUCUCCGUUCCCUGCAAGGGGGGGAAAAUGCCUGCUGUGAAACAUGCCAUUUAUUGUGGUUGCUGAUUAGAUUCAAUGGUGUCGUUGUUUUGCAUGGUUCCAGACAUUUAUCUGGUGACACUGAUUUACCCUGGACUGAGAGCAAUAAAAUAUCCCAUGCUGUUGAUCCAAGUGGAGGGCAUUUUACAGAAAAUCUUCUCACAUGGUACUUGGACAGAGCACUUGAAUGUGUUCUCUUGCAGAGGAUAUUUCUUCUUGCAUUGCCUGUUUGUCUAUGCCUUUCCAUUCUUAAAUGAUAAAGGGUACAAGCUUCAAAAGGGUUGCUUUGGCCCUGUUUAGAAAGGAUUUUUAUUUUUUGGAAGGGGUGGGGAUGUGUGGGUGUUAUGAUGUAUGAUGAGAAAACAAGAGCUUCUAGAAGGUAAAUCCAGUUUCAACUCUUGAAAUUCUUUAGGCUUAAAUCCUGAUUCAUUUCAAGCUCUCUAGUUCUAUAUUUUGGAGUUAAAUUGGUAUAAUUAGCCUUUGAUUGGUAUUUUGAUAAUUCUAGUUUAAAUCCCUUGUAUCAAAUGCCAAAUUAUGAUCAGCAGAGUAGUUCCUGCAUGUCUACCCUUGUUUAGAUCAAUUUCAUAUAUGGCUUAACAUGUUUAAUCUCACUCUAGCAAAUAAUUAUUAUUUUUUUUAUAAGCAAAAAUGCAUAUAAAUUAAAACAUGCCAAAAGGAUGCACCACAGUACACAGGAUGUAUACAAAUAUUGCCUAAAAGCACAAGAAACAAGAGAGAACACAAAAAACAAUACCCUCUCUUAACAAGAAACUAACCAUUCUACAAAAUCUAUGUCUAUGUAUAUCUUUACCCAAUUAAACAAAUUACUAAAUAUUGAUCCAAAGGCUCUUUUCCUUCCAAACAGUUCAAAAAAUAGACAAAGGAGCUGCUCUCCAAACCUUAUUAUCCCUUUUACCUGCAAAGGAACUAGGCCAUCCCAGGAGAGCCUCCUUAACGAUAGCAACUUCCACCCAUUGGAUUCUGAAAAGAGCAAACAGCACCUGCCAAAGGACCCUGUCUUAGCACAUAGUAAUGAUCUUAUGACUGUUGUAAAUCUAUUGUGGUUUGAGGCUAAGUUGCUGAUUUUAAUUUCUCAUCUGCGAUUCCUUAUCUCAAGUUUCAUAUCCAAGCUCCAUGUUACUCCCUUUUUUAAUGUGGAAUCAGUAGGUUAGUGUUCUUGAUUUUACUGGGUCUUUAGAAGAUUGUUUUGGCUUGGUUUAGUUUUCAUGUUUGUCUUUUCUAAUAGCUGCUAUUCUUUGUUUGGUUCUACCAUCAAGAAUCCUUGGGAAGAUGAUGUUGAUGCAUGAAAGUUAACUACACUACAUUAAAAACAUAAUUAAAGGGAUUUUCUUGCUAUGAAUUAUCAGAAUAAAGCUGUCUUUGACUUCUAAUUAACAUGAUAAUGGUUGUUUGGUGCUUGGUCCUCAUUUAUUUGUCUUCCUUUAUUCGAUGUCCCCCUGUUUACUUUAAUAGACUUGAUUGCAAUGAGUUGCAUGUUCAAAUUUCAUUUCAUAUUUUGUAAAAGAUCUCCCUGUUCUCCCAUUCUCCCUCUUCUUGGUUUACUGAUGUACUUUUUUUUUAUUACAAUAAAAUUUCAAGUGGAGCAAGAGAUGCUGAAUAAUAACCUUGUGUCUUACAGGUUCUUGGUGUGGAAAAGACGGCAUCUCAGCAGGAAAUUAAGAAAGCUUACUAUAAGUUGGCAUUGCGGCUCCAUCCUGAUAAAAAUCCUGGUGAUGAGGUGCAUUUGAUUUCUAAUGAUGCCAAAAUCCUAUUCUCCAUAUAUCCGUUGCAAGGGUGGUUUUCUGGUUGUUACCCUUUGUUUUUUUCCCUCAUGUAGGAAGCCAAGGAAAAAUUUCAGCAACUACAAAAGGUGAUAUCAAUUCUUGGUGAUGAAGAGAAAAGGGCACUCUAUGAUCAGACUGGUUGUGUUGAUGAUGCUGUAAGUGAAUAUGAAAACCUUUUGUUUUGUAUGUUCUUUUUUAAUGGCAUUUGAGGGCACAAAUGUGUCCAUAAGAAUUGAUGAUAUCUAUUGAUCAGGAAGUGUGCAUCUUAUUUCUCAAUUUUUUUAUGAUCAGGACCUUGCUGGUGAAGUUGUUCAGAAUUUGCAUGAGUUUUUCAGAACCAUGUACAAAAAGGUCAUAUCAUUUUGCCUUAUUAUGGAAAAUUUCUGAUUUCACGUAAUCCUCCUAUUUAUUUUCAGACUGGAAAGAUGACAUGUGAACACUUGCAUUGGUAGCAGGUUACUGAGGCAGAUAUUGAAGAGUUUGAAGCAAACUACAGAGGAUCUGAUUCAGAGAAGAAUGAUUUGAUUGACCUGUACAAAAAGUGCAAGGGUAAUAUGAACAGGUACAAUAGCAAAUGUGUUUCCCUUCUUUUUUUUUUUUUAGGCUUGCCGGAUCAGCCUCUAAUCUGCUUUCCUUCUCAGGCUUUUCUGUUCAAUGCUUUGUUCUGACCCUAAGCUGGAUUCACACCGAUUCAAGGAUAUUCUUGAUGAGGCAAUAUCAGCAGGUAAGGGUUCUACUAGCUUUCUUUUUGUUUUUUUCCCUUCCUGAGAUAAGUUGUCUGAUAUUUAGCCAUUCUAUUUUCUUGGAAUUAGUGAAAACCCCUAAUGUGAGGCCUCAGAACUAGCUAUAAACUAAUAAGUAGAAAAUAAGCAUAUGAUAAAAAUCAGAAAAUAAAGAUCUGAUGACCCAUUGGCCCCACCCUAUAGGUCCACAUAGAAAAAUAACAUGGUGAAAUCAUUGUUAUUAUCUUCUUUGUUGGGGACCCAUUUAAGUUGUUGGCCUGUACUACUUGACUGUUGUUUUGUUUAAGAAACCAUAUUUAUAGCCAUGCUUCACAUGUACAUUGCUGACCAUGCACAGCAUAUUCUGCCACAAUUACACUUAAUCAUUCUCUUUUUCACAUAGGAGAGCUGAAGGCAACCAAAGUCUACCAGAAAUGGGCAAAACAAGUGUCUGAAGCAAAACCACCUACUAGUCCUUUAAGGAAGAGAGGAAAGUGAGUCAUCUCAACUUCAGAGUUGUGUUUUCAUGCUUACAGUAGUUUUAACUUUUAUGACCCCUGGAUGAAUAAUAUGCCUUUGACAGAUCAAAUAAAGAGUCAGAAUCAGAUCUAUUAGCAAUUAUAUCUCAGCGCAGAAGUGAAAGGAAAGACCGUUUUGAUUCAAUGUUCUCAUCUCUGGUGUCUAAAUAUGGUGGGAGUGGACAAGUUUCAGAACCCACUGAAGAAGAAUUUGAGGCCACACAAAGAAAGUUAGAGAGCCUCAAGGCAUCCAAAAAGUCCAAGCGGAAGUAACUGAACAACUCAAUAGAAUUUCUGUGUACAAAUUUUGUUUGCCUGUGAGCAUUUUGUGGUUUCCUUAUUCUUGGUACUUAUAUAUAGCUUUCGGAUUGUAUGAUUAUUGUAAACUGUCUUUUCUUAAGGAUUUUGGAUGAUUUCUCCUUUGAUUAGAUGGUCUGUAUGUCAGGUUACACGAAAAUAGAUUGAAUAACAAGACAAAACCAACAAAAAGUGAAGUAGAAUUGCAUUGCAUUGAAGAACCGUGGCAUUAAAAGGAGUGUAGGCCAUAUGAUAAUGUUAAAAUGAUAUUGUGGUAAGACAGGAAAAUAUAGAUUUAGAAAUGACCUGCAUUUGUGGAAGUUUGAAGUAGCACUAAUAUUGGACAGGGGAAAGUUGAUUAAGCUGGUUUAAUGAUACGCAUUAAGAACCAAUUAUUGCACCAAUUGAGGUGUGGUCCAUGGUGAUCUGCUUUUUAGGAGAUUGAUGAAACGGAGCUGUAAUUUGGGCGGCUGUCAUAUGAUUAUGUACAACCUCUAUAGAUGGCCCUCUUGCAACCAAAAUCAGGUGGCAUCAAAUAAAACUUAUCCAUUGGAAUGAGCUAUGAGCUAUGAGCUUGGGCAGAGAAGAAGUAAUGACUAAAGACCAUUUUUUUCGCAGAUUUGUUUGCAUUCUUUGCCCUCUAACCCAAAAUGAAGCUAGAAAGAAAGGCCGAAAAGUGAACAAAAUGCUUUACCCAAAACUCAUGCCUAACAAGGAAGAAAUUCUCAAAUUGAUCCAUUAGGUCUUCAGCAGUGUUACAAUUCUGUCCUCUACCCGCUUAGGACAUAAUGAAAACAACUUCACCUAUGGCAUGCUUAGAUGAAUGUUAUGUGAAGUGUAGGCGGAUGGACCAUUUGGUCUCCCUCCCUGUUUGUUUGCACUUUUUGAUGCAUCUGGGUCAAAUCACCAAGAAAAGCAUUAGGAUCCAAAACUUAUAUCAUCUUCCUUCGGCUUUGCUUGCUGCAUGUGUUCCAACAUCCAUGCCCUCUGCUUUAAUUUCUUUUCUAUUUCCUACCAAACAUGUUUACAAUAAGUAUGUCACAUUCUGAUAAUUUGGGGAAAGUAUAUAAUCUUUCAGCAUUCAGCUUGCCAAAUCAAGGCUAGUUCUUUUAAUACAGAAAGAUUUGCAUCAGACCCAUCUUUCACAACUAAAACAUGACCACUACUUACAAUAGUUACCUCUUACCUUAUUAUUACUUAGAGCAGAAGUAAAGAUUAGGAGUUCUUAUGAAUUGGGUAUCUAUUUCCUUAAUAAAAUGACUGUUGUACAGCAAGUUUGGAUGCUCAACUGGCAGUUUCCAUAUUGGGGCCCUAUGUACCUCAAAAAAGAUUCCUUUACAAUUGAAAAUGGAUAGCACAUACACCAAAAGUCUCAUUGACGAAGGGAGGUGGAUGAUGACAAGGAGUUGGUGGUCUAGCUUAAACCAUCAGGCAGUUCAACCACAGCAUAAUUUCAGCUAUUGCCCACCAUUUGGAUGAGCUGAUGAGGGUCAGGUAUGCUUUUCACCUUUCUACUCAGUUCCCUUUUUUCCAAUGCAUUAGGUUUAUAUGCUCAUUUAGUAAAGGUUUUGACAGUUGAUGGUGGGAAAAUUUGAGUCAACUCAAUUGAAUUUGUGGCAAAAAGUAAAUAAAAUUGCCCACAAUUUGCAUAUUCAGAAGCAUGAUUACACCCAAAGAUGGGAAAUCAUGAAGUGUUUCGGUGUGUGAAAAAGGUUUAAGGUACCCAUGAUUCCAUAAUGGGUGUGGCUGGCCAGCACAUCACAGCGCAAACCAAAUGACUUUGUGGGCAGAUCCUAGCAAUUGGGGUAAGUCUAAAAUUGGAUGAGAGCUUCAGUUGGAGGAUGGUGACAUCACAACUGCAUGCUGUGAAAGAAUUCCCCUGGUCUUCAUGAUCCUCCAUGAAUCUGCAAAUGCAAGCAAAGCUUUGCCUCUUCUCUAGUCUUCCAUGCCUGUCACUGAAAUAACUUUUUUGCCUUUACUCUCUCUCCCCCUCUCCCUCUCUGGGGUAGAUAAUCAACUUUUCAAUUAAGUAUCAUACUUGGUAAAUAAUCACCUUUUGAAUUAAGUAUUGCAUUUGAGCUUUGUUGCUUUUCUUGGGUUUUCCCUUCCAUCUGUCUCUGUCUCUCUCUCUAUCUAUCUCUAUUUUUGUUGGCCAGUAAUCGCCUUUUCAAUUAUUAUAUUAGUGCUAUGUCGCUUUUACUUGAGUUUGUCUUCCCACCUUUUUCUCAUUUAUGUUGUAAUUAAUAUCAUUUACUGUGGAAUUAAGCUUUACUCAAGUUCGUCUCUUCCUACCUAUAAGACCCCUCAAGGUUUCUGGAACUUCAUUAGUCUCAAGAGUCAUCCCUUGGAACCUUUUACGCCCGUAAUUGUUGCUCCAUGCACUCAAAUUUCCCUUUUCUGUUUAUUUUUGCUACAGAAUUGUCAUCCAAUUGUGAGAUUUCUGAAGUAGAUCCAAAUUGCAGACACUUAGGUUUACUGCUCGAGCUGGACUUUACCUCUCUGUGAUUCUUUUGCUUUUCUUGAAGGUCUUCAUGGAGACGGAGGAAAGUGAUACGAGGCUGAAAAUGGAAGAUUAUGAAGUUAUAGAGCAAAUUGGAAGAGGAGCAUUCGGUUCUGCCUUUCUUGUUCUCAACAAGACUGAGAAAAAGAAGUAAGAUGAUUAAUACCCUACCAUGUUUGUCUCGGUUUUGUUCUUUUCUCUACCUCGGUGGAUCUCAGAAUUAUGUGAAUUUUUAAUGAGAUUUGACUACCCAUCUUCUUUUUCUAUCCUUUCCUGUACAGUCCAUUCCUUAGAUGAUGAUUUUUCAAGGAACAAUGGAGGAAAAUCAAAAUUCUGUGUUCAAUCACAGAAAUUAUCUUCAAUAAAAACACAAUCGUUUUCUCAAAGCUGUAAAUUCAGAUUCCACUUUGUUUGAUUGUGUGUUUUUCUGUUUAAUAGAUAUGUUCUAAAGAAGAUUCGUGUGGCUAAGCAAACAGAGAAGUUCAAGCGUACAGCACACCAAGAGGUCACCUCGACUAAACCCUUUUAAUAUGUUUUCUAUAUCUUCCUUUUGAGCAUUGGAUUCAGCAUCUUUUCAUACCGUCUACCUGUAUUGCUUUAGGCAUUAUACAUGAAUUCAAUGCUUGUUUUCUGCUUACCUAACUCAAUCUUAGUCUCGAUCGAAUCAUCCCCAGUGCAUUAAUAGGAAACAGCUGCAAAUAUAAGAAUGCAAUACGUAGGAAAUCAUCACAAACUAUGAAAAAGGACCCAAGCAUGUAACUAAUCCUUGAUGGUGCCCUUUUCGCAGCAAACAAACUUCUUAUCACUUGCUACUUGAAUAUGUUCAUAAUUGAUUGAUAUUAGAUAUUCUCAUUUACAAUAAUUGUAGAUGGAGCUGAUUGCCAGACUAGAUAACCCAUAUAUAGUGGAAUACAAGGAUGCUUGGGUGGACAAGGUAAGUGCAUGAUGUCUUUGUGUUUAGUUGCUUUUGGAAUUUAAACAACAUAAAGCAUUUUGUAGCAUGGAAAAUUGUCGCUAUUUCAGCUAUUUUUAGUCCGAUACAAAUGGGUGUUUUGCUUUAUAUUUGGCAGGGAUGCUCUGUAUGCAUUGUGACUGGCUACUGUGAAGGAGGCGACAUGUAAGUAAUCACCAUCUCUUUGAGCUGUCAAUGGCACAAAUGGGAUAUAAUGGACCCACUUCUCAGAGAUAAAGCAGCACUUUCAAAUGAUUGACUAAGCCAAACCACCCACCCUACUUCAAUUCUUCCCACCUUCAACUCAAUAUAUCAGGAUAAACAUGUCUGACAACUAAAAUAUGCCUUAAAUAGUCUGUUAGAAUGAAAAACUAAUGUUUUUGGAUGAAUAGGGCUGGGGCCAUAAAGAAGGCCAGAGGAGCAUUGUUUCCAGAGGAGGUAAACAGAAAGUUCCUUUCUGAAAUCAAAAUCCUAUAUAUGUACCUACAUGAUGCUCAUAUUCUACAUGGCUCUUUUUUUUGGCUCCUUAGAAGCUCUGCAAGUGGCUGACUCAGUUGUUGCUAGCAGUGGACUAUCUGCAUUCAAACCGUGUCCUUCAUAGAGAUCUUAAGGUACAAAUAUACACUAAUUCCUGAAUAAAAUUGAUUAAAACAGCACUGUCAGUGACAGAGUAACAAUAAUGUUGCUUAAUUUCAGUGUUCCAACAUAUUCCUCACAAAGGAGAGCGACAUCCGGCUUGGUAAGAAGACAAAAGUCUCGCUGAAAGAGAGGGAAUUUUUUCUGCAUCAAGUUUGGGUUCCCUUGUCUUGACGUCUUAUGAGAAAUAUUUAUCUUUAAUGGAAUAUACAGGUGAUUUUGGACUUGCAAAAUUGCUCAGCACGGAAGACCUUGCUUCCUCGGUAGGUACCUGUUUAUCCACCUAAAAUGUUGUUCUUAUGCUUCAUGUCAAUGUCUUGACAUGCAAACUCUACCAACUUGGAACUGUUCCAAACUCCAUAUGGAUCCAUCACUGCACCCAAACAUGGUAUUUUCCUAAUCUAGUUGUUCACUUCAACCUAUUUUCAACAUCAUCUGUAAUUUAUAUAGGUUGUGGGUACUCCCAACUACAUGUGUCCUGAGCUUCUAGCAGAUAUACCUUAUGGAUACAAAUCUGAUAUAUGGUCACUAGGUAAGAAACCCAAAAACAUAGUUCUCAUUUUUAUGCUGUUCCGUUGAUGAUUCUGUUAUGAAUAACAUGCUUCCACUACUUCAGGUUGCUGCAUGUUUGAAAUUGCUGCACAUCAACCAGCAUUCAGAGCCCCUGUAAGUUUAAGCAUGAGCCAUAUUUUAUGGCGUCAAAUCACUUGGCCACAGUUGGAGCAUAUGAAAUUUACUCACAGCAUGAACUUCAUGGUAACAUAAAAUCUAUUCAUAACUCUUUCUAUCAAUCAGGAUAUGGCUGGACUAAUCAACAAGAUAAACAGAUCCUCCAUUUCUCCUCUCCCAAUUGUAUAUUCCUCCACAUUGUAAGUAUUUUCUUCUCUGAAAAAGAUCAAUCAAAUAAGUUUCUCUUAGUAAAUACUGAAAAUGUCUAUAGCAAUCAUGUAUGAUGUGCCUUUCUUGUCAAUCCUGCAACUGAGUUUACAGGAAACAGAUUAUCAAGAGUAUGCUGCGGAAGAAUCCAGAACACAGGCCAACUGUGAGUUCAAGUAGCCUGUAGCCCUAGCCCCACCCUUGCAUAUAAUCAAUUUUAACACCAUCCAUUCUCUUACUGGCGCAUUUUAAAUUUCAGGCUGCAGAAUUGUUAAGGCAUCCUCAUUUACAACCAUACCUGGUCCGCUGCCGCAACACAUCAUCCAUCUUUCUUCCUGUAAAGUCUGAGCACAUUUCAAAGGAUAAAACACCGAGAAAACCAUCACCUAUCAAACAUAGUGCUGGAAAGGACAAUAGAGACAAAGAGGGAAGAGUACUCAAAAUGGCGGGUAGUGUUGAGCCAUUGGAGGAAAAUGCAAAUGUUCAGCCAAGGAAUCUACAGAACAAAGCAAAGCCAACACCCAUAGUUCAAACUGAAGAAAACCUAGAGACCAAGAGAGUGGAUCCUACAAGCUAUCCUGAGGAAGUAUCCAAUGCUGUUGAGAGUUCAAAAGGUGGGUCUACAAGCUGUGCCACAACCAUUACCAAUGAAGAUGAGCAGGUGAACGGUAUCCUUUUAGCACAGAAGGAAAGCCUUGACACCGAAACUUCUACCGGGAGUACACCAAAUUCUCAGCCUGGAGAUGAAAAAGAACAAGACGAAUCAGAAUCCGCUCCCAAACAUUUUGCGCAAAUUCAAGAUGGUGAUAUCAAGAAUGUAACCUCAGAGGAUGAUGCAAUGGAAUCCAACACACAAGUUCCUGCAGGGGCUGAAACAGAGAGCAAGAGUCUUCAGCCUGGAAAUCAUGGGGCAAUGGCAACAUCCAGUGCCAACUCUACAGAUAAAGGUGGCUCUCUUGAUGAUGAAUCAUCAAAUUCAUCAUCAGCCACACAAGGUAUUGAAUAUGAACCUAAUGCAGAACCCAGUUGCUGUCUACAGAAAAUGGAAAGCCCCGAUUCCCAGGCAGAAGGCGGGGCUCAAAUUGACUACAUCUCAUCAGAAAGCAACGACAUACUCCCAUGUAAGGAUGAAGCAGGAGCAAAAACAGACAAUACUAGUUGCUCCAUGGUAAUGGCGAAAGACGAUAUGAAUACGAUGAAUAAAGCUCCAAGCGAAGUUUCAUUGCUGAGCACACUGACUGCAGUUGGUGGAGAUGAAACUAAAGGCGAAUGGGAUAACCCGAGCCAGCAGAGGGCCGACGCGCUAGAGUCCCUGCUUGAGCUAUGUGCACGGCUGCUUCAACAGGACAAACUGGAAGAGCUUGCUGGUGUGCUGAAACCUUUCGGAGAAGAAGCUGUCUCGUCCAGAGAAACUGCAAUUUGGUUGACAAAGAGCCUCAUGACUGCACAAAAAUUUCUUGGAGGAGCCUAAUUUAUCAACAACUGAGAUGGUUUGAAUUUUUUCAAUAAAUUAUUGUAAAGGAAAAUGGCCUUCUGUUAACUAUGUUUCUUCCAAAAUGUUUGCUUGAUUCUCACAUAUUAUCCUGUCCUAUCCUCCACAUGAGCUCACCCCACCUGACUAUGUCAUAAAAAUUUGUUUGUGUAAUCUCCAUUUCUGUCUGUUGUGUAAUCGUUUGCAGCAUGGAUUAAAGCUUUCUGAAAUUGAUUAUAUAUAAUCUUGUCUGGGAUCAGUCUAGGUGAUGAGAAAAAUGGGAAUCCUGAGAAACCCAUAUAGCAAAAUCCUUGUUUUAUUUCAAUGUAUCAUAGAAAAGUAUCCAGACUAACAAACACAUGAUACCAACAGAAUUCAAGAAACAUAGUGAUAAAAAAGUUCAACCACCAUUCUCUUCUCUAAUCAUUCCUCUCUCUCCUUUCCAUGUCUUCUCUUCUGAGCUGAGAGUUCAGUGCAAGUAGAAGGCGAAGAAUGAGAGGACGGAGGCUCCGACCAACGACCCCAGAACAGGCAAAGUUGCUUGGGCAGCAUUGGAUGGUCCUGGUGCGGGAGACAUGACCUCAUCUGAAGCCAUGGCGGCGCUCAUGGAGGCGGCAGCGAUGAGAACAGCGCAUGAGAUCUUCUUCAUGUCCAUGAUGAUAUUGAAUUCUGAAUUUGUUGUUAAUUUAGAGUUUGGAAAAUAAAAGGAUUUGAGAGAAUUUGCAGAGACCCGCCUCGGUGACUAAUAAAUUUUUGGAGCAGGUCUGAAGAAAAAUGAAGGUGGUGGAGAGGAUUUUAUAGGGAGAAAUUUGUGCUAUUUUUAGGGUAGAAGAAGCUGUUUGUUAGAGGUGCUAUGUUUAGUAGGUUUUGCAAGGAGUUAGUGGCUUAUGUUAGUGGGUCAAUAUGGAUGGUUCCUAGUGGUAUCAAUGGUUUGACCAUUUCAAACGCCUAGGGAAAUAACGAAUGGUACCAAUUUUUUAAUGUAGAACUAUAAAUUUUGAAAUACAAACAUUUAGGAUUAAGUAAAAAAAUAUAUAUAAAGUAAUAAAAUCAAAAUAAAAAGCAAUGAAAUAAAAUAUAAAAUAAUAAUUACACAUAUUACAUAUAAUAUAAUGAUAUUAUUGAUUAAGGGUGAUAAACUUCAAUAUAAUUCGUUAACACAGAUUCAAACCUAAUACAUUUUUCACAAAUUUGGAUUGAGUAUAAUCAUGUUUGAAUAUAAUUUAUAAGGUAUGGCCUAAAGUAUCAUCAUUGUUACAAAGACGAGAUAAGGUGACAGAUACUUCUUUGAAGUGAACGAGUUGUUCCAAUCUAGCACGUAGAAUAGAUAUCGGAAAGAUAAGACAAUUCUUAUAGGGCAAAGGAAUACAUAAAGAUAAAUCUUCAUCCAUGUGCAUGGAAAUAACUACAAGAGGGUUUGGUCUAGAUAAAUAGGUUGUUAUAUCUAGAGUUUGACCUCGGCUAUCAAAAUGCAAUAGUUGGCCUAUAAUUGGAUCAAAGAAUACCUUAAGAUUCAAUGAUUGCAGAUAAUAUAAUUAAUUUAACUAUAAUUGUAAUGUAUUUAACCCAUUCAUUUCAAGCUUACAUUUAAAUAAAUAAGUUAAAUUAAAUCAUUAAAAAUGUGACGUUAGGAGGCUAAUCACAUAGACUUAUAAAAAAUCUAAAUCAACUUAAUUAUUAAACAAGAUAACCUAAUUAUUAUUAAAUAGGUUAAAUGGAUAACAUGAUAUAUUACUUAUUUAAUUAUGUCAUAUUUGAUUUUAUAUUUUUAAUUUAAUUAUUAUUUAGGUUGUGGUAUUUAGAAAAACGCUUUAAACUUUACUCAUCAUAGAUACAAACCACCGAAACUAAUUUCCACUCUGCUGUUAAUGCAUAUAUAUCGACGUUUAAAAAAGUAGUGGUCAUUAUUUGAAGGGCUUCAUCUGGAAACCAAGAAUAGAUAAUUUUAAUACAAGAUUGAAAUGGGUUUUCAAAAAUUAAAAGUUACUUGGACCUAGAAAGUCUUAUAGGAAGGAAAAUGAUAUCUCACAAUUAUGAUAAUGCGAAGACCAUGGAAGAGAUGAGUAAAAAAGUUUCUAAUCCAUAUCCUCGUAAGAAUAUUGAGAAUGUUUCGACAAUUUUUAUAUUAUGCAUUAAGUGUAUAAUAUGUUUAUGAAAAGCAAGUAAAAAAAUAUAUAUUUUUGAGGUAAAAUAGAAUUAAUUAGUAAUUAUUUUCAAAUUUUGAAAAUUAAUUUUGAACCUAUUGCCAAAAAUAACCCUACCUCUCCACAUUACUUGGUAUCCCAGGCCCAGCCCCCUGAAUUAUUGAAAACUAAUGAGUGAUGAGUGAUGUCUGAAUUCAAAGGAUGUGGCGGUUGAAGUGAAAGCCACCCCCUCUCUGCUUUGGCCCACGAUGACCAGAAAAUUAUCAUUUCUGACAGCUUAACGGCUAGUUUUCCUUUCCAUUUUAUAACGCCACCUCACCUAAUUUCACCUUCGUCGUGGACAUGCCACCUCGCAAUGCAUCCUACGCCUUCCCCCCUUCUACACCCAUCAUUUUUUUUAUUCCUCUAAAAAUAAAUCACAUAAAAAAUUUAAAUCUCUCCUAAAAUUUUUAAAAAUAAUAAAUGAAAAAUAAUGAAGAAAAUAUUUAAUAAAAUUCCAAAUUAAUGAAAAUUCAAUGUAUUUAAUUAAAAUCUAAGAAAUUUUUAGUCCAAAAUAAUAAUAAUUAAAAGUAUUUUUGACAAUAAAACAAAAAAUUAUUUUCAAACAGAUCCGGCCCUCUCAUUCCACGUGUUUAAACGACUAAUAUACCCUAAUACCCCUCACCCAAAUCGAGGUAGAUCUCAGUGAUUUGAUGUGACGCGGACUACGAAACGAUUCGUGUUCCGAAUCCAACGGACGCCAUUGCAUCUACGCCACGCCAACCCUCGCGAUGAGAACAUCGGGGAAAGUACACUGCAUCGUAAACCACAAAAAGCUUCCGAAAAGCCCAAUAAAUCACUGCCACGUAUGAGUACAGCCACGUGUUAUCAUAUCAUUACAAAUGUCGAAUUCAACGUUUGUGGCUUUGGGCCAUUCUGGGCCCCAACGUUUCGGACCCGAUACCGAACUGUCUCUCGCCGCGGGCCCACCGUAGUAGUAUCCCAAAAGGCAUAACAAAGCAAUAAAAAUGAGGAUUUAAAUCCCAAUAUUUCUCUAUAAAUUCAAUCUCUCCGGCAUCGAGCCAAACACACCUCACUUCUUUUCACAGAACAUCCUGCAUAGCAUUCAAUACAGUAUUCAACAGAAUGCAUCCCGCCACUUUCGCUGCAAUCCACAUAAUGAUGAUCGCAUUUCUAGUGUUCGCGUUCGGAUCUCCGGUUACGGCACAGGACGCCAUAGCGCCUUCACCGGAAAUGGACACCGGAGCUGCUUUUGCGCUGCCGGUUUCUGGUAUUUUGGUUGUUUCUUCUGUUAUAAUAUCUCUGAGCAGGGCUUUGUGGUGGUGAAUUUCGAAGUUUUGGUACGUUGUCUGUAACUAUGCCUCUGUUGCUGAGUAUUGUGUGGAUGUGUGGUGAAGGUAAAAGAGGCUUUGUGCGAUGUUUUUAUGUUUCUGGUGGAGAGGAGGAGAGAUGUGAUUAUGAUUUUGCAAUUGAUGUGAUUUUAUGAAUGAUAAAUAAAUUCACAUUAAUUAAUUCUUUUUUUUUUUCUCUGUUCUGUUAUCAAAGUUCUUCCAAAAUAAAUAAAAAAUAAAUUCUAAUUAAAAAAAACACACUUACACACAAAAAAGUUAUAUAUUAAAAAAAUUAAAAUUAAAAGCAGUUUCUUUAUAAGCCAAACUAAGCUGUGUACCGGCUUUAAGAUGUUGUUGGCUUUUCUUAAAUGUGAAUUUUCAGGAUCGAGAUAUUUAGAUUGUCAUCAAAUCAAGUGGAUCUUCUGUAAAUCCUAAUCGAAAAUAUAUAAUUAAGAAAAAUUCAUAUUUAUAUAUUCUUAAAACAAAUUAUCAUUAUGCAUUAGCAUCUAAAUAUAAAAAUAUAAAAUAAGAAUACAAUCAAAAGUAUAAAACUUAUUUAAAAUUUACAAAAAUGAUAAUAUAUACCUAGAAAACAUUAAUAUUUCUAAUUUCAAAAAGGCAACAGCAGAGGCAUAUACCCCUCCACCUGAUUAAUGUAUUUUUAAUUUAUUAUGAAUAAAAUUAAAUAAAUUUAAUUUAAAUAAAUAUAAAGACAUAAAACUUAGAAACCAAACGAUCAAUCUAUGAAAAAAAUUCUUGACCAUGUUUGUGCUAAUAUUAUAUAAUUAAAAAUAAUGAAAAAUAAUCCCAAAUAAUUAAAUUAAAUUAGAUUUGAAAUAAUUUUCCAUCAUGUCUCUUCGAGGAAGAAAUUUUUUUAAGAAACGAUGGCACAGCAAAGUAAAAUGUCACAGAGCCCACCACCAACCUGGUCAGCUAUUUGUACACGUGGCAAUUAUACGUGGCUGCUAAAUUUUCACACUGGGGUCCACAGUUCCUCUAAAAUCCCCUAUUUAUAGACUCCUUGUUCACAAACCCUGGUCAUACUGUCAGUGUCCGAUUCCUGAGUCUGUGUUUCCUACUUUCCUCUGAGCUUUGGAGUUGGUUCAUCUUCAUCAUUCACCAAUGGCGUAAGAUAGCAUCGGCCUUCGUGCUCAUUCUCGCGGUGGCGAUCUUUGCGGCCGCUACCACUGUCUCGGCGAACAAUGAGGCUCCGGCGCCUGCUCCGUCUGCUGCAUCAUCGUUCUACUCACCGGUGUCCAGUGUUUUUGUUGUCUCUUUGGUCGCCUUCUCUGUUUUUGCUCUCUUGAAACAUUGAGUUUCGAUGCGUUGAAGAUUGCGUGAGGCGAUUUAGGAUUCCAUGGGAUUCAUUCAUUCGCUGCAUUAGUUUUAUAAAUGAAUUUAUUGUGAUCGCUGCAUUAGUGUUAAUUUAUUCUAAUGUAUUGAUCUGUUAUUCCCUUUCUGGAUCUCUGUUCUUGCCUCGGCAAUUACUGUGAUUAAUAAAGUAUCCUUUGUCAGUCUCUGCAAUAGAUUCUAAAAAUAUGAAUGAUCUAUUCUUGAUGAUUUUGCCACAAUUUCUUGCUGUUGAUUCUUUUAUUACAAGCAGAACUAGGCAAAACAAAAAUUAAGUGCUUGUUUGGAACCUCUUAAUGAAAACAGAUUUAUGACCUUUGGAGCAGAAAAAUUAUCCUGAAAACAAACAGUGUUUUAUUAGCGUAAGUUGUAUGUUAACCUUUUUUUCUGGCACGAAAACAUUGAAGUAUUUACAAAAGGAUUGGACUUAUUUUGGUUUCUCAAAUUUAAGAAAUUCAAUCUAUAACGAAAAGUGAGAGAAUAGGUUUUCUCAAAUUGUGGAAUAGCCUAAACACUUUCACAUAUUUUUUAUUUCAGAUUUCAGUAAUAAUAGGAUGGUUCCCUUUCUUUUGAUUUUACCGAAAUCAAGCAAAUAAGCCAUUAGAGUGUUUUGUUGUAUAUGUAGAUUGAUGCAUAUUAUUGUAGUGGAUAAUAAAACAAAUUAAUUAUUAUUUUUUUGUAUGUAUUUUUAAGAGAAUUAUUUAUUGUGUUUUUUCAUAAAACAUUGCAAAUAAUUUUUUAAUAUUAUAAAUGAUUUUUUAGAUUUUAAAACUAUUUUUAAAAUUUGGUUAAACACCAAUUUUUUGUUUUUUAAGUAUAUAUUUUUAAACUAAAAACACUUUUUAAAAUUAUUGUCUAAAGCAAAUGAUACUAUGAUAAAACAGUUAAAAAAAAUAGUACUUUGAAAAUUUUGCUUUUAAAAGUUAAUUAUUAUUUCAUUAUUUUAUAAUUUAGAAGCGUUAUUUAAUUAAAGUACUUUUGACUAUGAGCUUCUUAAGCUUUUAAGAAUAUACUAAUAUAAUUAUUUGUCAACUUAAGCCUUUUAAACUUUUAAGAGUAUAAGAAUACAAUUUUCAAAAUUUGAUUUAGAGUAUGUUUGAUAGUUAUUUUGAGAAGUGUUUUUAGUUUUUUUAUUUUUUUUUUAUUUUUUUAUUUUUUUAUCUUUAAAAUAUAAAAAAUAUUAUAAAUACUUCAUAAAAUUGCUAUGAAACGCACUCUUAUUCAAAUGUUAAAUGUGAGUUAAGAAAUAUAUUUUUAUUAAAUUAAAACUUUUAAAACAAAAUAAAAAAUCUAAUUUUUUUAAUAAGAAUAUUUUUAAAUAUAAUUACUAAACAUAAAAUUCAAUUUCCUAUACUAGAUUAAGAUAUUUCUUCUAAUAUAAUUAUGAGAUAAUUUUGACGAAGAGAUUGUCAUGAACAAAAUUUAUUGUUUACGAAAAUACACUAAUUUUUAGUUAUUAAUAGGGAUGACAAUGGGGCAAAUUUUUUCGACUACCUGUCCUGCUCCAUCCCUAAUGGGACGAUGUUCAAUUUUAAUAAACGGGUUUGAAAUUUUUUUUAGAAAUCGGGGGCAGGGGAUUUUCCCCGUCCCAUCCUAAUUAUAUAUAAAAAUAAUUUAAUUUAAAAUUUUAAAUUAUUUUAAUUUAAUUUUUAUUUUAGUAUUUUUAAUAUACAGAUAAUAAUAAAAUAAGUUAUAAAAAUAUAAUAAUUUAAUUAUUUAUAAAUAUAUAUUUAUUUUAAUGUAAUUAAAAAUUUUAAAAUAAUUUUAAAGAAAAUUAAAAUUCAAAAAAAAGUUAAACGGAACGGGACGGGACGGGGCGGGCAUAAGAAUUUAUCAUACAUUUAAUUUUUUAAAUGGGACUGGGAUGAGAAUUAUUUUGAAUAAAUGGGGUGGGAUUGGGAUGGAAGUGACCCGUUGUCAUCCCUAGUUAUCAUCUUCUUUAAAUGUUUUUUUAUAUUUAUAUUUAUUGAAAGUCCACAUGUGAUUGGAGCAAGUAAUAACUUCUUAUAACAUAGAUAACCCUAUUCUAGUUAUUAGUUAUAUAAAAAAUUAUUUUCUUUCAAUUAUAAGUGCUCAUAUUUUUAAAAACACAACAUUUAGUUUGUGCUCUCGAAAACACGAUGUUUAGUUUGUGUUAUUAAGAACACAACUUGGUUCGAAUUCUCAAUGGCAUGACUGAUUACUAGGUAUUGUUUCAUGUGAUCAUAGGGGACUUUUUAUUAAUGGUACUUUAGUUAAUUUUGAUAUUGAUUAAUUAUAAAAAAGAAUAUCAACAUUAAAUAGUUACAUGCGAUGAGUACCCUUCUACAUUUCACAAUUUUGUAUUUUCUCAAAUUUCACGCUUUUUUCAUUUAUUAACAAUAAUAACACUUUUUAUACUACAAUUAUGUUACAAAACACUUUAUAUUCCCUAUUAAUUUAAUUAUUUUUUAAAUAUAAUUACAGAAAAAAAAAAUUAGUUUAUGAUGUUUAUGUUUAAAAUAGAAAUAUCCAUACCAUAUCUAUAGGUCGGUCAUUAAUGAAUUUAAAUUUGAAAAAGCAUAAUAAUUAUCCUUUUUAAGAAAAUUGGAUAAAAUAAUCUCUGAAGUAAAAAGGACGACGGAACUUCAAUGGUAAAUCUUUUGUCUUUUGGCCCAGUCCUAGAGAGACGUUAGGUGGUUCUUAAAAGACAAAAGGGAAAAGGUUUGGCGCCUUCUCAGUUCUCCCACCCAACCGACCUCGGUGUGGACCAAUCGGCACAUGCAAAAUGAGCUGUUGGUACAGGUGGCAGCAUCUGACCAUCUGUCACUAUUCACUGUGGGGUCCAUACGUGAUCAAACCGCCUAUAUAUAGACCCCUCGUUCUAAAGCCCCAGCCAGAUCUAGUCGGUUCUCCAGUCCUGAAUAGUUCCUCCUGUUUCUCCGUCUCCGGUUGGUUCUACUUCUCUGUUCUCUUUCAGAUUUCGAGUUGGCUUUGCUCUAUCCUUCAUCAAUGGCGCAAGUUAGCAUCGCGAAGGCCUUAAUGCUCGUUUUCGUAGUCGCGAUCUUCUCUGCGGCUGCCACAGUCUCGGCGCUGGAUAACUCACCUGCGCCGGCCCCAUCGCCGGACGCUGGAUCGGCGUUCUCCCUCCCGCUAUCCGGCGCUGUUGUUGCCUCCUCUCUCGUUUUUUCUCUACUCGCCUUUUUGAAGUACUGAGUUUGGCUAUGAGAAGUUUUUAUCGUGGAGAUCGUGGAUUCAUUCUGUAGAGACUUUGAUGAUUGUAUUUGAUUUAUUCAUGAUCUACAUUAUUUAUUUAUUUUUAAGUAAAUAAAAUUUUAAUUAAUUUUGUUACAUUGAUCUGUCUAUUCCCUUUCUGAUUCCCUCUUACGCAAAUUUUGCUUGCUUUUGAUUUAAAAAAGAAUGCUUCAGAAAUCACAGUGAAAAGAAUAUUCAUCAGGAUUAUAGAUUUCAAAAGCAACUCCAACAAAUUAGUAUAUUGUUAUCAAUCAAUAUUUGAAGAUUAAUUUUUUUUUAAAUUUAAUUAGGAGAUAAAUUUGCAAUGUAAAAUUCUGGAUAAAAAUUAUUUAGCAUGAAUCAUUUUUUAUGAUGCAACGCCCCUGGAGGUGUAAAAUGGAGAAUUAAAAAGGAACUAAAGCAUCAAUGGCAACUUUUUUCUAGAAAAUGACAUUAAAAUUUGAAUUUAAGUCACAAUCCACUAUCCACAUUGGUUAUUAAGAUUAAAAUAGAGUUAUUGGAUGAAAGAUUUUGAGUGUACAAGAAUUUUAGAAGAUUUAAUGUUCUUCUACAUUGAAAGAAACAUAUUUAGGAACAUUCAAAUCUAAAGUAAAUUUUUUUUAUUUCUUUAAAUCUAGGUCCGUUUAUAUUUAAUAAUGCAUGCUUUCUUCCUUUGCUUAGGAUCUAGAGGCCUAGGAAAGUUUUUUCUGCUCUUAAUGUGAUAAUGGGAUAGGGAAUGAAGAAAUCUAAAAUUUCCUACAACAAGAAUAUCAUAGCCUAAUUUGAAGUUGAGAAAUGUAUGUUAAUGUUAUACUUUGUGCAAUAAAUUUAGUAAAAUAGUCACCAAGAAUGUUAUUGCUAAUUUGAUAAAAGGAGAAAAAUUAGAUGACAAUAAUUAUGAUAUAUAACGUAGAAAAAUUCAUUACCUAUUAAGUGAACAAGAGAUCUUGAAGACCUUAACUAAUGUCAUGAUCCAAUCCAAAGAAGAGAAUUUAGCUUAACAUCACCAUGAUUUGGAAACUUAUUAUUCUUUGUGUUAGAAAAAAAAAAAAAAAAGACUAAUCCAACCUACGGUAAUCACCCUAGGGGGGUGAAUAGGGUGAUGAUCUAUUUUUCUAAAUUUAAACUAUGUGAAUGUUAGAAACAUAUAUAUGCAAGUAUAUAAUAAAACAAUAUAAAAACAAUUACAAAUAAAGUAAAGGAAUGGGGAAAAGAUAAUGUAAACAUAAGAUUUUUAUAGUGGUUCGGCGCAACCCGACCUACAUCCAUUCUCCUCCAACAUUAAUCCCAAACUUAGAUUAUUCUUUUCAAAUAUAUGCAAAUAAUUUCACAAACUCCUAGUAUAAAACUUUAGACUCAAAUGAUACAUGUAAACUAGGAUUGAAUAGUGUACUAAAGAUAUACAAGUUUUAGAACAAUGAUGUACUAAAAAACACUUUUCCAAAGCUCAAAUAUAUUUAAGAAAUGUUUAGGAAGGUUAAACUCAUAAAAUAAUAAAGAUUUGAGUCUUUUUAUAAAAUAAAAAAGUCAAACUAGUCAUUGGGGGGUCGACCGAUCAAUUUGGGGGUCGAAUGAUUAACUAGGCGUUAGUAUUUAAUAUUUGGCAAGUGGUCGUUGGACCUCGAUUGGUUACUAUUCAUACAUUGACUGGUUUAGGUGGGGGUCGAUCGGUUAUUGUUUACACAUUGACCGAUAGAAUAAUUGUUUUGGAAGAGAUAUAAGGUUUUUUUGCACCCCUUGACGGAUUAAGCUAGGGGGUCGACCGAUUCCUCAUCCAGUUCAACCAGUUGAGCCGUUUUUGGCUUAAUAACCAACCUUUUAAAUAAGUUUGGAAAACAUUUGAUAUAAGGAUUUAGUUGAAAACAUGGAAUCAUCUAAAUUUAAAAAAUUUAAAACAAAAUAACUCUUAGAUGAUUUUGGUGCAUAAGUAAAGAAUAUAAUGCAUGAAAAUCAUAGUGCACCAAUAACCUUACAAAGAGAUCUCAUAAAAUUUGGGUUUUGAAAAACACUUCUCUUUGAGAUCUUCUUUUUCUUCGUAAUUUUUCUUUGACUUGAUUUGUCUUUGUAAUUGUCAUUUUGAAAAUCGUCUUACCUAAUCACACUUAAAAUAUAAUUAUUAGUUCUAAACCAUAUUUUGUUAUCAUCAAAACCAAGAUUAAUCAAACUUUGGUUUCACACUUGUGUUAAAAGAGACUAUUGUUCAUGUUUCACUAUAGUAACAUGCACAAUGACUUAAUAUGGGAGUUUGAGAAUUGUCCCACUGCUUAAGACAUGUGGAAUAAGCUUAAGAUUGCCUAUGGUUUGACAUAUGCAACUAGGUUGCGAGUGCUCACUUUGUAGUUCGAGUAAUAUGUCUUGGACCCCAAACACACCAUGUUUAAACAUUUUAGGAUAAUGUCAGUAAUAAUUCGUGAUUUAAAGGUAGUCAAUAAUAACCUAACUUAUGAGUAACAAGUCACAAUUGUUAUUUGUUAUUUACUUGAAUCAUAAGGACAAAUAAAACUUAAUACUCAUGCAUAAUGAGAAUAUUAAAACUUUUACUAAUAUUUUUCACCAGAUUAAGUUAGAAAAUGAGUGUUUAGGGCUAUGACAUACCACACUUGUCGCCCAUGCAGGGUACAACAUGGUAAUAAGCCUAAACAUAAGGGACAAGGAAAACACGGUUAGACAAUUGGAAACUUGGGCCGAAAAAAAGGAAAUCAUAAUAAAAAUAGAAAAAAAAAAAAAAAAAAAAGCAAAUGAGGUGAAAAUAAGGAUAAGCAUAAAAAAAAAUGCUACAACUAUGGAAAACUAGGUGUCUCUGCUCGUGAGUGUAUUAAGCUAAAGAAGGUAUAGCCAUAUCCUAAUUUUCGACAUGGUGGACUGUAGGCUUAGGAGCAAUAAAACAUGUAACAAGGAAUAAAGUGACAUUGGGUGGUUGGCGCCGUGUUUUUACUUGACGUGUUUUAUAGUUUCUUAAAAAGUUUUUUCCUCCUCAAGGAGACAACGAUGGAAAAUUAAUUCAUAUUUAAUUUAUAUCAAUUGGUAUUAUUUUUCAUUUUUUAAUUAUAUAAUAUUGGCACAAAUAUGGAGAGAUUUUUUUUCAUAGAUUUGUUUCUAAGUUUUAUUUCUUUAUAUAUUUAUUCAAAUUAAUUUUAUUUAAUCUUAUUUAUAAUAAAUUAAAAAUACAUUAAUUAGGUGGCGGGGUAUGCUUCUACUGUUACCUUUUUAAAGUUAGAAAUAUUAAUGUUUUCUAAUUAUAUAUUUUAUUUUUGUAAAUUUUAAAAAUGCCUCUUAUUUCUUAUUUUUUAUUUUUAAAAAUAGAAAAUAAAAAUAAAUUUGACAAUCAUAUAUAAAAAGGUACAUUUGUUUAUGUUGACACAUCAUAGAUGAGUGUUGUUUGUUGUACAGGAAAAAAAUAAAUAUUAUUAUAGAAUUCUUAUUUUACAACCUUUUAAAAGCUUAAUUAUUGUGAAAUAAUAUUUAAUGUAAUUUAAUAAUGAAUAUAUAUAUUUACAAAAUUCAUAUUUUUUUAUCAACAUACCCCAUAUUAAUAUUAAAUAUAACAAAUUAUAUUAUAUAAAUAUUAAUUUUUUCAACAACAUAACUUCAAAAUAUCUAUUAUUAUUUCUUAUAUCAUUUUUAAUUAUUUUUUAAGUUUUUAUUAAUUUUCAUUUUAUCAAAAUUAUGUCUCAAAAUAUUUAUUGAUAUUUUUAUUUAUAUAUCUAUAAAAUCAAAUUACUAAUACAUCAAUAAAAAUCAAUAUUUUUAUCCUUACUUACAAAGCGCUUUAUAUUUUCUAUCAAUUUAAUUAUUUUUAAAAUAUAAUUACUGAGAAAAAAUAGUAUAUAAUGUUUAUAUUUAAAAUAAAAAUAUCCAUAUAUCUAGGUCAGUCAAGAUUACUAAUGAAUUUAAAUUUCAAAAAAAAAAAAAUAUAUAUAUAUAUAUAUAUAAACAGGCACAAUAAUUAUCGUUUUAACAAAAAUAAGAUAAAAUUAUCUCUGAUGUGAAAAGGAGAACAGAACCCUGCUUGAAUGGGAACUCUUUUUCUUUUGGUCCAGCCUAGAGAGACGUUAGGUGGUUCUCAAAAGGCGAAAUAAGAUUUAAGGAAAAGGUUCGGCGCCUUCUCCCACCCAACGGAUCUCGCUGUGGACCAAUGGGCACAUGACAAAUGAGCUGUUUGGUACAGGUGGCAGCAUCUGACCAUCUGUCACUAUUCACUGUGGGGUCCACACGUCUCCCCCACACGGUCACACCGCCUAUAUAUAGACCCCUGAUUCUGAAGCAUUAGCCAUAUCUACUCAUUCUCCCGAAUACUUUCUUCUGCUUCUCUGUUCUCUUUCAGAUUUCGAGUUGGCUUUGCUCUAUCCUUCGUCAAUGGCGCAAGUUAGCAUCGCGAAGGCCUUUAUGCUCGUUUUCGUAGUCGCGAUCUUCUCUGCGGCUGCCACAGUCUCGGCGCUGGAUAACUCACCUGCGCCGGCCCCAUCGCCGGACGCUGGAUCGGCGUUCUCCCUCCCGCUAUCCGGCGCUGUUGUUGCCUCCUCUCUCGUUUUUUCUCUACUCGCCUUUUUGAAGUACUGAGUUUGGCUAUGUGAGAAGUUUUCAUCGUGGAGAUCGUGGAUUCACUCUGUAGAGACAUUGAUGAUUGUAUUUGAUUUAUUCAUGAUCUACAUUAUUUAUUUAUUUUUAAGUAAAUAAAAUUUUAAUUAAUUUUGUUACAUUGAUCUGUCUAUUCCCUUUCUGAUUCCCCCUUUCGCAAAUUCUAUUUUGUCAUUAAAAAUUAUGCUAUAAGUUUAAUAAAUAAUAAAACAAUAUGGAUUUGAACCUCCUUUAAACUAAAAUUCAGUUGUGGUGCAAAAUGGACUAAAAAGGGACUAAUGCAUGAAUGGUAACUUUUUUUUUUUUUCUUAAAAAAAAAACAUUAAAUGAGUAUUUUUGUCUUUUAUGUUUCCUCGUGGAUGCUUGCUAUUGAAAAUCUUAUUUUUUUUAUUUUCCUCUUGUAUUGAACAACUAGGUUCCAUUUUUUUCCAUCCCAACCACGAAUGGUUAGGGGUCUAUUCUUAUGGUAUGUUUGAAAAAAAUCAAUAUUCAAUACAUUCAUGUCUUACCACUCAUUAAAAAUAGCUAAAAUAUCUUUUAAAAUUUAUUUUUAAAUUUUGAAAUAGUAAAACUUUUUUACCCCUUCGAUUUCUUAAAAUAAUUUUUUUUUAAAUACUUGUCUUCGUUUUACUUAAAGACUCAAAACAAUUGAACUUAGGUACAAAAUAACGAAAAGUAAAAAAAAAAAAACGCACACACAAAUAUACAUAUAAAUAAAUAAAACUUAAGUCCAAUAAUCAUCUAUUAACACCACUUUUAUUUUAUAACACUAUUGAUCGUCAUACAUUCUACAUAAUUAAACUAUGAUGGAAAACUAUUUCUUGAAGUUUAAUUCUGAGAUAAUUUUAACAAAGAGAUUAUCAUGAUCAAUGAUGACGUGGAUUAAUUGUCAAAAAUAUCAAACAUCGGAUUAGGGCCCUCCUAAGUAAUUAAAGAUAUCCAUAGGUAAAAAUAGGAGAAAAUAAUCCCUCAAGGGUAAAAAGGAGAACACCGGUUCUCUGGUGACCUUUUCCCUUUGGGCCCAGUCCUAAGAGACGUUGGGUGGAUCUCAAAAGGCAAAACAAGAUUUAAGGAGAAGGUUCGGCGCCUCCUCCAACCCAACCGACCUAGCUGUGGACCAAUCGGCACAUGCCAAAUGAGCUGUUGGUACAGGUGGCAGCACCUGUCCAGCUGUCACUAUUCACCGUGGGGUCCACACUUCUCGCGCAAACCUCCUAUAUAUCGACCCCUCGUUCUGAAGCCCAGUCACAUCUUCCAGGUGCUCUCCGCUCGAAUAGUUUUCCUGUGUCUCUGUCUCCGGUUGGUUGGUUCUAUUUCUCUGCUCUCUUUCAGCUUUCGAGUUGGUUUUAGUGCUCUGUCCUUCAUCAAUGGCGCAAGUUAGCAUCGCGAAGGCCUUCGUGCUCCUUUUCGUUGUCGCGAUCUUCUCUGUGGCUACCACAGUCUCUGCGCAGGAUAACUCCCCUGCGCCGGCUCUAUCGCCGGACGCUGGAUCUGCGUUCUCCCUCCCUCUAUCCGGCAGUGUUAUAGUCUCCUCUCUCGUGUUUUCGCUUCUCGCUCUCUUGAAGUACUGAGUUCGGAUAUUUGAGAAAAUUUUAAUUUUUAUGUGAGGAUUGAGGAUUGUACUUGAUUCAUUCAUGAUCUAUAUUAUUUAUUUAUUUUAAGGAAAUAAAAUUUAUUUUAUUUUAUCACAUUGUUCUGUUUAUUCCUGAGAAAUGGAGAACUUUUUGUAUGCUUGGACCUCACGAAACAUUGCACAAACUUCAUGUGGACCAAAUCUAAUAAUGAAUUUGAAUUUGAAAAACAAUAAUAACAAAUUGGGAUCAUUCGUCAUGUUGUGGGUAAUACUUUUCUAAGGAUUAAACAUUUGAAGCGAUUUCUUGUCCGAAACCACUUAUAAUUACGCGUGUUUGACCCUGUUUCAGUUUUGUAAUUUUUGUCUUUGUUUUUCCUCAACAUUAUAUUAAAUUUUUUUGAAUAUUUAAAUUGGGUUAGAAAAACUUUUUAUAUUCCCAAUAAUAAGAUCGAAAGUAAUUGCCAUACGUUUAAUAUAUAUACAAUUUCUAAUAAUGAAUAUAGAUUUUUAAAAUACAAAUAUCAAACGCGUAUUUGGAAAUUGUUUAUUUUUAAUAAUAAAAAACAAAUCUACAACUUUAAAAAUAGAAAGGAAAUCAACGAAAAUUAAUCUUAUAACUAAGAAAGCGGUUUGACAAAAUUUUGAUAAAAAAAAUAUGUUUUUUUAGAAAUAUUUUAAAAAUAAGUAAAUUUCAUUAGUGUUUUUAAUGUUUAAAAAAAAUAUGGAUUUGAAAUUUUAUUAAAUGUUUUUAUUAUUUUAAAUUAAAUGGAAAGUAAGAAAAAUAAUAAUAAUAUUUGAUAAAAUUUUAAAUGAUUGAUGAUUAUAUAGAUUUAAUUCAAAUUUUAAAUGAGAUAAAUGAAAUUAAUCUGUUUAUUAUUAUUUUGAGGAAUAUGGAAUGAUUUUUAUAUUUUAUAUAAGUAUAUAAUAUUUUUUUUUAAAAAUGAUCAUCAAAAUUAAAAAUAUUUGAAUUUUCAAUGAUUUUUUUUAUAGAAUUUUUAAUAAUAAUUUUGUAUAAAUAAUGCCACAUAAACGACAAAAUAUCUUUGGUGAUUGGGCUUUACGUGUAAAAAAGAAAGCUGAAAAUGGAUCACCUAGCUUUGGUGACUUUUCGUCAGUUCCACUUUCCAAGAGAGCCGUUAUAGAUUUUUCAAAGUAGAGAUAUUUUUGAAAGCAACGUAAAACGGCCACUUCUUGGCUUUCGUGUUUCACACGUAAUUAGAAAUUUAGAAGAAGCAUCUUUUUCUUUGUUUUGUUUUGUUUUUUUUCCACACCCAUGAAUUGAAUGGUAUGUAGAGAGUUGAAUGGAUCGAAUCAUAAAAAGCCAGCCCCUGACCGAGUCACUGAGUCAUUAUGUCUCAAUAAUGAUUCCUAACGGUGAAUCGUCGAAUUCAGAUUUCUUCCAAACUAAAUAGUUUGUAAUUUAUAUUUCUAUAUUGAGAUGUGGGGCAUUAGAGACAAGGAACGUGUCAAAUAAGAAGUACUGCGCCACCCAUCGCCAGCCCCGCCGUGGACCAAUCAGCACAUGCCAUUAAUGAGCUGUUUGGUAUACGUGGAAACCUAUGACCAACGGUUCCCAUUCACACUAGACCCACGCGUCUUUCCAAAGCUACCUAUUUAUAGAACUCAUCUUCUCAAACCCUAAUAGCAUAUUCUCUCAAGAGUUCGAAAACACUUUCAUCUCUAACCUCUCUGUUUUCUCUAUUUCUCGUUGUCUUACGGAGUUUAUUCAAACAUGGCCCAAGUUAGCACCGUGAAGGCCACUAUGAUCCUCUUUGCUAUUGUGAUGUUUGCUGCAGCUGCUACAGUCUCGGCACAAGAAGUUUCUCCGACUCCAUCGCCGGAUGUUGGAUCAGCCUUUUCCGUACCUCUCCCCAAUGCCAUGAUUGUUUCAUCUCUGCUCGUUUCUCUCAUCGCUCUCAUAAAGCAUUGAAAUGGGAUUCGAGAUGUCGAAAUUAUCUUUUAUGUAUUGAUUUUAUAGAAGGAUCGAGUAUUGUAUUGUACUUAUUAUUGAGGAUUGUAUUUGAUUUAUGGAUGAUUCUCAUUAUUUUAUAAAUAAAUAAAUAAAAUUUUAAUUAUCUUUGAUUGUUAUCAUUUUUGUUUUAUUAUUGCACUUUUUGAUUGCAAAAAAAUGCUUUAAAGCAUUGAUUUUAUUAUAUGUCUCUAUUUUUCUCAUUUGAUAAUUUGGAUGAGAAUUGAAAUAUUAUAGGAUCGCAUAUUAACAUUUAAACAUGUAUUUAAUAGCAAAAAUUCAACCGAUUACCUUGAUUUAUGUCAUGGGAAGUCAUUUCUUCUCCCUCUGAUAUCCAAUAAGCUGCUUUUUGGGUGUGUGAUUGUUCGAGAAUUAUGGAUCAAUGAGCUCUUCCCUUACCUUCCAAAAUUCAGUCCAAAGUGCAAAUAUAUGUGUUUGAGUCAGUCAAGUAAAUUAAGAUGAAUCCAUAAAAAAUAAAACAAUAAUAUGUAUCUAGUCCCCUUAUGGAUCACAAUACAAAAAAUAAAUUAACACUUAUUUAUGAUAUUAUCAAAUUGAUUAUGUAAGUCCAUACAUAAAAAUUCCAACAAAUUUUACAUGUUUUUUCUUAUUUAAUAAUUUUAGAUAUUUUUCUUUAAUUUAAAAUAAAUAAGAUAUUUAACAAAAUAUUAAAUUAAUGAAAGUUAAUUAUAUUUAGACAAAACUAAGUGAAAUUAUCCCUUAGUUUAAAUUGGUAAGAUGCUUGUACUUUUUCUUAAAGUAGGUGUCCUAGUCUAGAACAACCAGCUUUACAGCUUACCAGAUUUCCAGAAUUAUUACCCAUGUGCCAACCCAAAAUUUGGCACCAAAAUCAUUUUAUUUUAUUUUAUUUCUAAAUGUUAAUGGGUAAUUACAACAUACAAAUUUUUUUGGAGAAAAUUAUGCUUUAUAGAACUUGAAAUUGACCAUAUGAAUGACAUAAUUGACAGAAAAUAUAUGAAAUUGUAAAAGAUAAAAAUACCAAAGAAAAUGACACAUAAAAUCUUUUUAAAAAUUGAUUGAUUGCACACAUGGUAAUGAUCCCGAAAAAUAUCUUAAUUUUUUAUUUGAUUAAUAUAAGAAAAUGUUAUUUACAAAAUAUCUUUCUUUUUUUUUACAAAAACCAAUUUCUAUUUGAAUUAGAAAAUAUUUAUAAAAAAAAUAAUUUUAUGUUAUAAAAAAAAACUCUCAAAUUUAUUAAGAAAAUAACUAUAAUUUAUUUAUUUUUAUGUUUCUAAUUUUCGGUUUAGAUUUUUUACCCAAUUGGUCAAAGCACAAUUUUCCCCAUUUUUUAUUCACAUUCAUCAUUAAAUGAAUCAAAUAUUUGAAGGCCUUUCUCCUUCAAUAAUGUGCUACAGGGGAAUUGAACGUUGGGCUAAUGCCACCCUCACCAUUUGCGUGACAACAAGGAUUUGAAUAGCAGCAAUUAACUAUUGCCAGCUUGGAAAAAGAAACCUUAGAAAGAAAAAAAAAACUAACGUUCAUUAUUCAAAAUUAAUCAGUCUUUUUGUAUUUUAUAUUAUUAAAUUAAUAAUAAAUAUUAUAAAAGAACAAUUGGGUGUCACAUGCCGACAUGAGGAGUCUAAGACCAACUGGCACAUAACACAAUCAGUUCCCGGGAAACUCGGCUUUUAUCAUGUUUAAUAAUAAAUAAAUAAAAAAUGAUUUAAGAUUAAUAUAUUACAUUAUUUUUCUUAUUCUUACAAUUUAAAAUUGAAUUUAAAAGUAAAGUAAUUAUCGAGGAAGAAUCCACCACACUGUACCCACUCAGCCACAUGCGCCCGUUGAGCUGUUGUCUAGUGGCUGCCUGGCUGGGCCGCUUCACCAGCUGUUAUUAUUCGCAGUGGGCCCUACUUGCCACUCCAACGUCCUAUAUAUUUGGGGUGGCUUCCUCUCUCGGUCUCACCAGCCCUAAGCCACUCUCAAAAUCACUCGCCUCCUUUCUCUCUCUAACUCUCCCUCAGUUUCUCACCGCCGAUCAGCUUCUCCACUGUUCACCAAUGGCGCAAGUUGGCAUGACGAAAGCCUUAAUGCUUGUCUUCGCAGUGGUGGCAAUCUUCUCUACGGCUGCUACAGUGUCGGCUCAAGAUGGCGCCCUGGCACCGGCUCCGUCGCCAGACGUCGGAUCUGCGUUCUCCGUACCUCUCUCCGGCGCUGUUAUGGCUUGCUCUCUUGUCCUCUCUCUUCUCGCUCUCCUGAAGCCUUGAGUUCCGAUCCAUGAGAGAUUGCAGAUUUUGUAUAUGGAUUGAAAUUUGAGGAUCGUAUUAAAUUUAUUCUUUGUUCAUUUGGGAGCAUUAUUAUUGUUACCAUUUUGUGUUAUUAUUUUAUUAUCAUAAUGAUAUAAGAGAUUUAUACUUAUUAUGUCGGAUCCGAUCUGCGUGAUGCUCUCUCUUCUCUUUUCCUCAAGAGAUUGCCAUUCUGAUUUUCUUCCAACGAAGCGAAUUGUUCUUGCAAAAGAAAACACUAAACCAUAAAGUAUUUUUAUAUUUAAACACGCAUGCAUAUGCUGUUUUCCAUAUUUAUUUUCAUUGAAAUAUCAUAGAGAAUUUUUUGUAGGUAAUUUUAUUUAAUAUUUUUUAAAAAUCUAAUCACUGAUAUCUUCCCUUUUAAGCUUUUAAUUUAUUAAUGGAAUUAUUAAAAUUAGAAGUUAAAUAGAGAUGAUUACUGACUUAGUAAUAUGUAUUAUAAUAAGAAAAAUAUAUUUAAUGUAAUAAUUGUAAAUUUAUUUAAAUUUAAAAAUUUUCACUUUAUUCAAUUAAAAUUUCUUAUACUAACCUUUUAUUUAUAUAUUUCUGGACCCCGGCCGCAUGAUUUGCGUUGAUGCAAGAUAAAGUCUACAAAUUAACGGAUAUUUCCAAAAGAAGAAGGGUAACGGUCAUCACCAAAUGUUAUUUUAUUAUGUUAAUAUUUAAUAGUUUUUAAUUUCCUUUUUAUAGAAAAAUAAUACAGAGGGACCCACCAACAUAGCUGUAAAGACACCAACACUGCACUUCACAUGUCCAUUUCAGCGUACGGUUGAAUUGUGACACGUCAUCAGAGUUGGUCUCCAAAGUGGGCCCCACACGCCGCUGCAAUUCACGAACGCUGUUGCUUAUUAUUCUCUCCCGGUUUCCAGAUUGUUCUGUUGUUUAUCUUUCAGUAAUGGCGCAAGUUAGCAUGAACAAAGCCUUGAUGGCCGUCUUCACAGUCGCGGUAGUCUUAUCUGCGGCCGCUACAGUAUCGGCGCAGGAUACUUCGCCGGCCCCGGCUCCAUCUCCAGACGCCGGAUCGGCGUUCUCCCUACCUCUCCCCGGCGUUUUCAUUGUUUCCUCUCUCUUCUUUUCCCUUCUCGCUCUUUUGAAACCUUGAGAUUUAUGGAUUGUAUUGGAUUCAUUCUUUGUUUAUUGAAUGAUAAUGUUUAUGAACAAAAAUCAUGGUAUUAUUUUCGUUGUUCAUGGGAGGGCUUAAAGCUUCGAUUCACUUAUUGCAUAAAUAGAAGCUUGAAUCUCAAUUUGAUAGUGCAAUAGCACAAAAAUAAAAUAAAAUAAUUGAUCUAUAAACGUAUUCGAUUGGAUCAGUCAUAAUUAUAGAAAGAAACCACUUCUUGGAGGCUCCUUUUCAAUAUUUUUUCUUAAUGAGAAUACCAAAUAAUAAAAUUUAAUAUAUAUAUAUAUAUAUAUAUAUAUAUAUAUAUAUAUAUAUAUAUAUAUAUAUCAAUUGAAUAACAAUUAUACUAAUCGAAUUGAGUGGUUGAAUUUUCCCUUUUGAGAAAACAAAAAAAAAGAAAAAAAGGAAAGGAAACGCUAGGUAAGAUUUUGGGAUCGGAAGAUUAUUCAAGGUUUUUUAAAUUGGGUCAAAAAUUCAUAUUUUAUGCACAUUUAAGCUUAAAAUCCAAAUAAAGUGUAAAAAUUAAGUUGAAUGAUAUUUUUCAUUAAUCCUUAAAAUAUUUUUAAACCCUUUGCAUUGAGUGUAAAUUUUAUUUAUUUUUCCAUUUUUUUUCAUUAAGUAUUAAUCAUUUAUAACUUUUUUUUUUUAGAGAUAUUGAAUCUUUUUAUUCUUAUUAUAAGCAAAGAUAAAAAAAUUUCAUAUAAAAUUUAAUGGAUAAUCAAUAAAUGAAAUUUAAUUAUUUUUAUUAUUUUCAUAUAAAAAAUACUACUAAACAAGGUUUUUAAUUUUUAUUUUUUAAUUAAAUGUUUUUUUAAUCAUAUUACCAUUUUUUAGAAAGUAUUUUUUAAAAUAGUUUUUGAACUUAAUUUUUAUUUACUUAUAAUUUAAAAUAUAAAAUAAUGUUGAUUUUCAAUUAUUUAUAAAAAAAAAAUUUUAAAAAUAAUAAAAAAUUCAAAUGGUUAAAAUAUAAUUAUUAUGGUUACAUGAAUAAUGGUGCGAUAAAAAAGAAACUUAUAUGAAAGUUUAAUGGGUAUUUUGAUAUUUUAAUAUCUUAUAUGAUUUCGAUAUGUUAUGUUAUACUUAUCAAACUUUAAUUUUUGGCCCAAAACACAAUUAUACCUUUUAAAUUUAACCGUACCAAUCACGGACUAAAGUGUCAGCUAAAAAAAAACAUAAUGGAACUUUUGGUUUCGCCGCAGAGAUGUGUUGAAUAGCUUUUUUUUUAACGUUUCUUCUUUUUCUUUUCCUACGGUAAAAAUUAGGGUUUGAAAACGACAUACAACGGUUGGUUAUGCUUUAUAUUGAAAAUAAAUAUUGUCUUUAAAUAUUUUUAUUCAAAAAUUCAGUUUUCAAUUAUUUUUUUUAGUAGAACAGAUGGGAUAUUUUUUUUAUAUCAAAUAUAUUUAAGUUCUAGUUUUUAAAAUAAAUUUCCAUUUACCUUAUCGUCUAAAAAUAUUUUGCAUUUUUGAAAAAUAACCUGCAUUUCUUAUUUAUUUUUUUAAUAAUAAUAAACGAAUACACAAAAUGUGAUGAAUGUGAUGAUGCUAAAAGCAUAGCUGAAAAAGGAGAGGGAAAAAAAAAAUUGUUUCCAUAUUUUUUCCUUUCCUUUCCAACAAAUACUUUCGGCGUGAGCCACCGACAUCAACGCUGGGACAUGCCGAAGUUGAGCUGUUCGGUGAAGAUUGUGGCACGUCACCAUAUGUCACAUCAUUAGUGGGGCCCACACACUGUUUUUAAACUCCUCUGGCUCUAUAUAUUUGACCCUCUAAUGCUAGGCGUGACAGACGUUCUAAUCUGCUCUCAAAGUUUCUAGAUCAUUUCCCUUUUUAUCGUUCACUAAUGGCGCAAGUUAGCAUCAUCAAAGCCUUAAUGCUCGUCUUCGCAGUCGCGAUUAUCUCCGCGGCCACUACAGUCUCGGCGCAAGAUGGUUCUCCGGCGCCGUCUCCGUCUCCAGACGCCGGAUAGGCAUUUUCCAUUCCUCUCUCCGGUGCUGUCAUUGCUUCAUCUCUGAUCCUGUCUCUUCUCGCUCUCUUGAAGCAAUGAGCUCCGAUCCGUGAGAGACUCUCAUAUUGCAUUGCUACCGGUUGAUUUUGUAUGGUGAUUGUAUUGAAUUCGUUCUUUUUUUUUUUUUUUUUUUUGUUUUUUGUUAUGAAGAAUUAUAACAAAUUUACAUUUCUUGCUUUGGAUUUGGUCGUGCUGCACCUGUAAUCUCUUGUUCACGCUUCACAAGAUUUAUUUUAAAAAAAAAUUUACAUCAAGGAUCUGAUUGAACUUUUGGGGGAUCCGCGCGAUCGACUUUCAUGUAUUUUGUAUCUCUCGAUGAAGCUAGAGGAACAGAAAUAGGCAGUGUUUAUACCUUCUUGCUUGUUCACGCAAUAUCUAAUAAUAAGUUAAUAACAAUGUUUUCAAAAGCAGUUUCACCACAUUUUCAGUAGCGCAUGUAUUUGAUUGAAUUAGAAAACUCUUUACUGAUUUUUAAAAAAUAAAAAAAUUGUUUCAAAAACUUUUUUAAAAAAAAUAUUUUACCAAAUUCAAAUUCAUAGCGACAGAUAUUCAUCAACGGUUGCUGAAGUACUUAUAUUUUAUAAUUUUGCUUUACAAUGAAGCAUAAAUAAAGUUUAC
This 62676-nucleotide long non-coding RNA is filed under the name Vitis vinifera (wine grape). RNAcentral describes it as "long non-coding RNA (VVIN_LNC002684)". The record is from RNAcentral. Lineage: Eukaryota; Viridiplantae; Streptophyta; Magnoliopsida; Vitales; Vitaceae.